GUAUCGGUUCCAGCAGGGCCUGGUGAAGAAGCGCCGAGGCUGGGAGUAGGGGCCUCAGUUGAUGGAGACGGUGGGCUGGAGGCCGAAGGUGAUAGCGCUGGAGACUUAGCUUUGGUCUUGCUAGGGGCCGGAGCUGGAACCGUGGCAGGAGGAGAAGCCAAAGGAGCUGGUGGUGGGGUAGCUGGAGGAGGAGUAGCAGGAGGGGGAGAAGCAGGUGGUGGGGUAGCCUGAGGUGGAGAAGCCGGUGGGGGAGUUGCGGGAGGUGGGGUAGCUGGGGGAGGAGUAGCCGGUGGAGGAGAAGCUGGUGGUGGGGAGCUAACGGGCGGGGGAGUCGCUGGAGGAGGAGUGGAAACUGGUGGUGGAGAAGCUGUCACUGGAGGUGGUGAUGAUGUAGGAGGAGGAGUGGAAGCUGGUGGCGGAGAAGUAGUUGUGGGUGUUGGAGGUGGUUGGGUAGUAGGCGGAGGUGUGGAAGCGGGUGGGGUCGGCGGCACCGGCGUGGAUGUCGGAGGAUUACUAGGAGUAGGAGGAGCUUGGCCUAAAGCGCCAGCUACAGCAAUGCAAAACAAAGCUGAUAAGAACAAAAACUUGUUAUUAAGCAUCAUGUUGGAAACAAUGGUGACCCUUUAAUCCUGCACACCCUCUCCGCUUAAACUACGCCCAGCCGCGCAAGCAAAAGAGGGAGAAGAAUAGCAAGUAUGAGAAAUGAAAAGAUGGUGAUAUUUAUAUAGAGGAUAUGGAAAUUUCUAUAUCAUAUUUCAAUUUUAAAUCCCAAAAACAAAUAAUUUAAUAACAUUUUUAUUUUAUUACUAAUGGGAAAAUUAUAUUACUAAUCCUAUGCAAUUUUCUAUUUUAAUUUAGUGUAAUUUAACUCUUUCGUUGUGUUAUUAAUAGGUUCAAAAUUGAUAUUCGAUCGUACAAGCAGAGAUGUAGAAAUGAAUCAAUUUUGUUAAAUAAGCAAUAAAUCUCAAUCUUAGUCAAAUGCUUAAAGCUGUUAUAAAAAAAAAUCACGUCACCAUUUUAACAUUAAUAAGUAUCAAAUUAUAUAGAAGUAAAGGAUUAAAUCUCUAAUUUCAAUUUAGUAAAGGGACUAAACUGGAAUUAAAGGGUUAGAGUUUUUUCCUCGUUUGGUGAGGUAAAAUAAAAACCCUAGUGGGGCAUCACUUUGAUGAUUAUAAAUGAUGCGUUAGUUAGUCAUACUUUAGGUAAAAAACUGUAGGUGAGAUUAGUGUAGAUUGAAAUAUUUUAGUGAAAGGUUAAUUUAUACCUUAAAAAUUUUGCAAUAUUUGGUAGUUCCAUGAAAUGAUUCCCACUAUCAUCAACUUUUCAAUCAUUCAAAUAGGUUUUAAUUUGUUUUGUUGUGAAAUUUUUAAGGAGUCAGGUCCGGUUGUUAUAAAAUUUUAGGUUUGAAUUUGACUUGAAAAAUAGGUUUAAAAUUUUACUUAAACCCAGUCUAGAUAAAAAUAUUAAACUCAAGUCUGGACGUAUUAAACUUUUUAUAUUAUUAUUUAUAUAAAAACAAAUUUAAAAAAUAUAAUACAUCAAAUACACUAAAAAUAUUAAAAUAGAUGUUUCCCAACAAAUUGAAAAUACAUUAAAAAAGUUUUUAUACUUAGCAAGCAAAUGCCUCUAAAAUAGUAGCAAAAUUAACAAUAAAAGAGUUAUAUAAUAUCCAAACAAUAACAGCAAAAUAGUAGUAAUAUAAUAGCAAAAUGGCAACAAAAUAACAGUAGAAAAAAAAAUUUAGGCAAAUUCGGGCUGAGCUGUGUCAAGCCCAGGUAAAAAAAGAUCUUACCCGAGGUCGGCCCUUUUAGAAAAUGAGCCUUAUUUUAUUGUCGAAACUCAUUUUCUAGACCUAUAUUUUUCCCAAAUCCUCCCACUUAUGGGGCGAUAUUUAGGGCUUGGGCAGGUGGCUCGGCGCAUGAUUAGGUCUAACGAUGGAUUCUUUUGUUAGUAAUGUUUAUUUUGGUGUUUGAGUUUUUUGUGUCUUAAUUUGGUACCUAAUUUUGGCUUUAAUUUUUUUUCCAAUUAAGCACUUAAGUUUGGCUUCAAUGUUCAAAUUGGUACCUAAUUUUUUUUUGUCCAAAUUAAUUACCUAUAUUUUGUUUACCAAAGCACGUGUGUCAAACAUUCAUUGGGUCAUAUGAUGACAUUUGGCUUAGGUAUCAAAUGAAUAUCAAAUCCGAACUUGAGUACCAAAUUGAAACAAAAAACACAAAUACCAACUAAGUAUUGAAGCUAAUCUCAAAUAUGGAAUGGUAUGUUAGCCCAUUUGUAAACAAAAUUUCAAGGAAGACUUAAAAUUUAGCAUCUACUAAGCUUUCAGUUUCCCUUUUGUAUGUUACAAUUGAUGUUUGUUUAACGCAUAAACUUGGUAUCUUUUUUCCCGUAAUGAUAUUUAAGCUUUUUUUUAUACUUGAUAUCCAAACUUUCAUUCUGUCACACCAUUUUGAGCAAUUUUUGUACAACUAUAUUAAAAUCUGUAGUUUGGUUAUCUUCAACAUUAAGGAUUUCUACGACAUACUUUUUGCGCAUUCCUCCCAUGACAUUAAGAAGUAGGGAGGCGAAAGUGGUGGUGCUAAAAGGAUCAGUUUAUCUAAUUAAGUGGAGAGUUGAAAAGGGAAAUAAAUUAGGAAGGAGUAGGGGACUCACACAUCCAUAACAUAUGCAUAUGUUAAGAUUAAAAAUUUACACAACCCAAUUGCAAAUGGUGAGACUUGGACUUGGAUACUCAAGGAUCCAAGAUCUCGCCUUAACCAACAAUGUUAAGAUCUCAUUGACUCUUUUGGAGUUUUUUCAAAUUCAGGAUUAAAAAUUAUGAUAUAACUCAAUAUAAUAUUAAAGAGUAAAAAUUAAUCAAAAUUUACAUAUAUCACUCAUUUAAUCAUGUGUACAGAUAAAAGGAAACCACUCGUCCUCUUGCCAACCCUACGUGUAACAUAAUUCACUAUAAAUUCCAUUUACCAACAUAUACAUACAUACAUAAAUAUAAAAGAGAACUUCAUUGGUCUUGGACUGGAUUGGCUACAAACUUUGACAAAAGGCAUGUGUAGGAGGAUUAAAUUCGAUGAAUUGCAUGAUAGUUUCUCCUUUUUGAUAAUUUAGUACAUGAGAGAAUAAUGAUGAUUGUGGGGGGGGGGUGCUCCAUCGAAAUAGCUGGAAUUUAUUUAUUUUAGUGAACUGGCAAAUGUAAUUUGUACGCCAAGUUAUAAGGUGAAAAAGGGAGAAAUCAUAUAGAUUUGGUUGGUAAUGGUAUGUUGAUGUUGAAGCACCUGCGGUGCAACGCCACAAUUAGUAGGCCCCUACCCCCGCUGUCACCCCAUCAUAUGUGCUUUUGGAUGGAUCCAACAUUUUCGUGUUCUUUCCUUCUUCAACAUCAUCAUUAUUAAUUAGUUACUCUUCAAUUUCUAUAUGUAAUUUGCUUUCUUUUCAUUCAUAGGUUUUCUGUUUUUCUUUCUUUGAUUUUGUCUUGUGCACAACUGACGUCCUCCAUUAUUUUUCCCCUGACGUCCUCCAUUAUUUUUCCCCUUUUGUAUAAUUGGGUUUGUGACUUCAAUAGUCUCCGUUUGUAUGGAAAUUAUUUUAUGGAUUUUUUCAUCAUAUCAUUUACGAUAUAUUUUUAGUUAUUUAAUGAUAUUUUAGUAAUUUUUUAUACCAUUGAUACAUAAAUUUGUUAAUUUUUUUACCCAGAACCUUUAAUCUCGAACUUAGAACCCCGAACUCCGAAUCUUGAACCUUGAACCCCAAACUUAAACCUUGAAUCUUGAAACCCUCAAGGUUCAGGUUUGAGGUUCGAGUUCGGGUUCAAAGUUUGUAGUUCAGGGUUUGAGGUUUGAAAUUUAAGGUCUGGGUUUAGGGUCAAGGUUCAAGGUUCAGGAUUUUGGGUUUGAGGUUCGAGAUAAAAAAAAUUAUCAAAAUUAUAUGUCAAUGAAAUGAAAAAAAUUACUGAAAUGUCAUUAAAUAAUAGGAAAGAGACCAUGGAUGAUGUGGUGGGAAUGGUCCAAAAAUAAUUUCUCAUUUGUAUGGGGUAUUGUUCCUUAUCUAUUAUAAUUUGGUAUCUCUAUUUUUAUAAUAUUAUUAGUAAAUCCAAAUUUAUAACGAUGUUGAUUGCUUCAAUAAAAUGAUAAGGUGGAUUUUUAUAGGAAGAAAGUUAUUUGAGUUUAUUCGAAGUUAUAAUUUAUAAUUGUAUUACCAAUUAUUAAAAAUAAAUAACUUAACUCAAACUAAGUCAUCAGAAUAAAUUUGAUUGUGGGAUUUGAAUUUGAGCGCUCCUUAGGCUUCAUUAGCUUAUUUGGGCUCUAUUUACUAAAAGAAAAUUAUCAACAAAAAAAUUCAUGACGAGCCAUUAAUAAUUUUAUUAAUUUGAACUAAUCAAGUCGCUGAUCGAUUUAUCGAGAUAACUUUAGAGAAGAGUUUAGUUAUAUAAGUGUAUGAAAGACAUCCUGAAAGAAUUAGCAGUUGUUAUUGAGAUUGAUAAAGGAGUAAUUUAUUCCAUUAUGAUAGAUUGAUAUAAUUUAAUUGUGUUUUUUUAUUUAUUUAUUUUAAAAAGAGUAGAAGGACGUAGUAAAGGAAUUUUCAUGCAUCAAUAAUUUAUAAUUUAAACUAUGAAAUUUCAAAAAAGAAGAAAUUCAUGUUGAAAUUGAUACUAUCAAGCAAUUUAGAAGUGUAAAAUUUUCAAUAUCAGCUGGAUAUUUAAUGUCAAAUAAACUAAAGAAAUGAGAAAGACAAGCCAAUUGUCCACAAUGAUUAACUUGUUCCUAAAAAGAAAGUUGUACAUUGACUUUGCUUAUAAAUCAAUCCAAUUUUUUUUAUAUAAAAGGAAACAAUUACAUACUUAUAUUGAGUUAUUUGUACCACAACCCAUUUAAUUAUUAUUUUAAUUAUCGAUUGAGUCUUAGUUCAGUUGGUAUUGACAUUAUUAUCGGUGUAGGAGGAAUGGGUUCAAGUGUGCUGAAACGCAUUAUCCUCCUAUUUAAAUGUUGGGAAGGGACUAUAUGAUCGAGAGUAGAUGUGAUAAGAACCUAUAAUAAGAUUAAUGUAAUGCCCCCUCGUUCCUUUAAAUGCUACUUGAAACAUACUUAAUUAUUAUUUACUAAAAUAUUGACAAAUCUGUAAUUUGAAUCUAGAUUCUUAUCAUAUCGGCUCUUUUUGGUACAAUGCUUACAACUAUCCAUAGCCCCUCCCCAAUCAUUAAAUAGGAGGAUAAUACACUUCAACGCAUUCGAAUCCACAUCCUCUUGUACUGACAACAAUGUUAAUCAAUACAAUUCUAAAUACGAGUGUACUACUUAGAUAAUCAUAUCCAAGGUACACAUAGUUUUAAAAUUUGAUCCACACAUUUAAAUAGACCCCACCUCUGAUCUUAUCUAGGAUUUAUCACCGAAGCUGACGGUUAGACAAACAAAACAACUUGAUUGAUAUAAUAUUGAUAUUUUACAGACUCAAUCGUAAUGUUUUAUAGUUCGAGAUGAACGUAGAAUCGUGGCCAUAAUUAUGGAGGUUUGGCUGAAUUGACUCUAUUUCUAAAUAUAUCAUGGUAGACAUUCAAUAUUAAAAAAAAGAUAAAGGGAUAAUAUAAUAACCCAAAACACCAAAUUUUGGUUGGUUUAAUUUGCAGCUUUAACCAAUGCUUUUGCUUGAUCCAUCAAUUAGUGAGGAUUUCGAUCUAAAUUAGAGGGUCCCAUUCGGUUAUUAAGCUCUUUUUCCCCCCUCGUGAUUGCCAUAACAUGGGCCCUUACCCUUUUAACUUUGCUUUGGUUUGGUUUGAUUUAAGGUUUAUUCAUAAAUUGUCCCUUAAACUAUACCUCAAUUUUUAGAUUGGUCCUUAAAGUUUUUUCUAUCAAGAGUGGUCCCCACACUAUCAAAUCUAUCUCAUUUUACCCAAAAAGCUUACGACAUCCAAUAAAAAUAUUUAAAAUGUGACACGUGUUACAUUCUUAUUGGUUAAUAUCAUUUUUUGGGUAAACUAAAAUAAAAUGAACAGUUUAAUGAUCACUUUUGAUCAAAUAAAAAAGUUUUAAGGACUACUCUAGGAAUUGAGAUAUAACUUAGGGGUUAUUUUGUUAAUAAAGCUUUGAUUUAAUUCAAUAGAGAAAUCAUUAACACUGAAAGAGUUUUCUUUAAUUUACUCAAAUGGUCUUUUUGUUUGUGUCACCUAACAUUUUGAAGAACAUCCUUUCUCUGUGUACCUCAUACAAUUCGUUAAUACGAAAAUUUUAUGAUUUUUUUAAAAUAAAUUUAAUUGUCACUUUGCAUGUUACAAAUACUUUUAAAUAAGGACUUUUUUCAUAUGAGAAUACCUUUAAUACCAAUUAAAAAACAUCUUAAACUUAAUUUAUCUAAUUUCUUGGGCAGGGACCUAGCCCAAAAUUGGUAAAAUUAAAAUUAGAUCUUUCUAAUUUUGAAGCACUAAAAUUGGAUUUCUUUUAAAUUGUAAAAUUAUAAAUUUAACCCUUAAAAAAAUUAUAAUUCAACUUUAGCCUCUAAUUUUUUUUCUCUAACUUACAUCUCCGCCUAAUUCAAUAUAUUUUAAAAAAAAAUUGACUACAAACAUCUAGACAUUACCAACAAAAAUAUAUUUAUAAUUAGUAUUUAAUAUAAAAUAUUUUAAUUCUAUAAGCAAUUUUCAAAAUUUUCAUAUAUCUCGAUUUUUCUAUAUAUAUUUUUUUAUUUUUAUUAAAUCAUGAAUGAAAUAUAUAUUAUCUUUCGGAUUCUACUUAUAAAAUCUAAUAACUACACUAAUAACGUAUUAAAUCAUUUUAUGUAUAUAUAUAUAUAAGUUCAAGUGGUCCAUAGGUAGCUUAGAGUACAAGGGAUUAAGUUGAGGGCCCUUAUCAUUUUCUCCAAAUGUGAAGUGAUGUUAACUGCUUAGCUUCCUCCUCUUGCCCCAUUCAUUUUCCUUCCUUUCCACAAUAUAUAUUGUAUAAAUAUUUAUGGGUAAUCGAUUGAGUCUUAACUCGAUUAGUAUGAGUAUUGUUGUCAAUACAGGAAGGCGUGUAUUCGGCACAUUAUCCUCCUAUUUAAGGGUUGGGAGGCUAGGAGUAGUUGUAGAUAUUAUAUUUAAAAAAAACAGAUAUGAUUAAAACCUAUAAUGAGAUUAUUAAAAAAAAUAUUUAUGGGUAAUCAGUUUAUACAAUUUCAAUUAGGCGUAUAAAUCCAAUCAUUAAUCAUUAAAAUGUUUUACUUUAUGCCAUAAUAUUGUUUUAACUGCAGAAGCAUGUGGGUUAAUGAAAACUACUUAUAGUAUCUCAAUUAAAUGUAAUCAACAACCUCAACUCAUAUCUUCCUUCUCUCUCUCACUCUCAAUUAUAUAACCUACUAAUAAUUAACUUUAAUAACCCACUUUCAAGUACAUCUCAGGCUACCUGCCAUACCAAGCCUAAAGCUCCUAAGAUUUUCUAAAAGGUUUGCACAAAAAUACAAAGAUUUAUAGGAUAAUGGAUUUGGGCAAAAAAUUAAGCUUAAUUAUUUAAAUUAUAGGUUGAAUUUAUCGAUAAGUCAUGUUAAACGUAAUGGUAAGAUACAUUUGUACUCUUAAGAAAAGAAUGUAGAUUCAAAUAUUAAAAACGAUAUUGUUAAAAAAAACAAUCACAAAUCUCAAACAUGAGUCAUAAAACAGACAUGUAAAAUACAUUUGGACUCAUUUAAGAUUAUUAAAACAUGGAUAAUUUAACUCAAUAUUGCAAUUUAGUGUUACAAUAUGAUUUCGUGAUAAAAUCAAUAAUGUUGAUUUGUAUUAUUGUAUUAAGUAGUGCAUGAAAUGUAGGAUUAGAUAAAUUUGUAUAAAGUGCAUGCUAAAAACUGUUUUGAAGGCUUUAUAGAAUUCUUUUCGCUUAAAAGAUAAGAGUCUACCUGAUCAGCUAAGGUUUACAAUAUUGCUUAUAGGUUUAGCUUUCAAUCGAAUUGAGUGAAAAUUUUUUGAGUUAAUCGAGUUAACGAGUCCUAUUUUAUCAUUCUAACACAAUUUGAAAUUUUCUCGAAGUCGAGUAAAAUGAAAUUCAAGUUAAGUCGAAUCGAGUGAAAUUGUUCGAGUUAAAUUAAAAAAUUAAACAUGUCAAAUUAAAAUCUUAUUACAGUAUAAUUAAUUUCAUGUUAGAGCACAUAAUAUUGAAACCAUAUAUAUUUGAAAACUUUUUCAAAGCAAGAUAAGGAAAAAAAAUACUUUAGUAUAAUAAACUUGAAUCAUUAAUUAACUUAUUUAAGUCCCCAAAAUUAUUAUUUUAGAACAUUUUUAAAUUUUUAACUUUCUUUAUAUAUUCUUUAUAAUUUUUUUUAAAAAUAUAAUUUUUGGAAUUUUUAUAAAUAUUUUGAAUUUUGAAAUUUAUUUUGAUUUUUUUGUAUUUUUUGUUGAAAAAGACCAAUUUGCUCAUUUUCAAAAUUGACAGGGAUCAAAAGGGUAUUUAUAUCAAUCUAUUACUCGAAUUAUUCGAGUUAUUCGAAUUGUAAAAUUCUACUCGACUUGAACUCAAAACUCGAAUUACUUAUUAAAUUUUACUCGAAAAAAUCAAAUAACUCGAUUCAAUUAACUCAUAAUUCAAUUUUUAUUUUAUUUUUUCAAAUCGAGUUUUGUUCACCCCUAAUAACUUAUUAGCAAGAAUUGUUCAAUUUUAAAAUACAAGCUAAUAAGAUUAUUUUAUCUUGAUAUUAAAUGCUAUUUAUACAACUUAUAAAAGAUGGUCGAUACACACAGAUGGGGUAGACUUUUUGAGUGUUUCAUUUUUUUGGUUCAUGGAACAUUUUGCAAGGUAUAUACACCUUGAUACCUUUGGUAUUAUUUGGAGAGUUUUAUUCAUUUGUAUGCAAAUAUGUUUGCGGUAUGUGAUAAUAUUUUGGGAGAGUGAGUGUAAAGAAUUGCAUACUAGUGAAACUACUUUUAUCUACAUUUUGCAAGAUGGAUACACCAUGAUUAGAGGUGUACAUGAGUCAGGUCGGGUCCAAUCAAAAUUUUAGACCCAUUUGUUAGGCUUGGGUCCAGAUAAAAAUAUUAAAAUUUAGGCUCGGUCCGGCCCGCCUGUAUUAAUUUUUUAUACAAAUUUAAAAAAUAUACAAUACAUCAAAAAUAUUAAAAAUAUUAAAAUAAAUGUUUCUCAACAAAUUGAAAAUAAAUUUUUAAAAAAUAUAUACUUAAAUAAAACUAAGAUAGGUGAAACUUAACAAGCAAAUGCCUCUAAAAUAGUAACAAAAUUAAUAAUAAAACAAUAGUUAUACAAUAUCCAAAUAAUAACAACAAAAUAGUAGCAAUAUAAUUGUGAAAUUGUAGCAAAAUAGUGAAAAACAACAAAAAAAAUAGCAACAAAAUAAUAAUAAAAAAACAGAAAAAAAACUGCAAUUUUUUUUUAUUUUGUAUAUUCGGGUCGGGUUGAGCCGGGCUCAAACCCAAAAAUCCUUACUCGAGGCUCAGCCCGUUUUAAAAUAAAUAUUGUUUAAUUAAUUAAUUAAAAAAUCAAUAGUGUUUAAAAAAUAUCACAAUGAAAUAUUAAAUUUUAUAAGAUUUCAUAAUUCUAAAAAAAUAAAAUAUGAAAAUGUUUAAAAAUUUUAUUAAUUUUUUUAAAAAAAUUAUACAAAAUUUUAAAAAAAUAAACAAAUACUACUAAAAGGUUUUAAAUCAAAAUUAAAUAUAAUGUAAUUAGAAAUUUAUUUUUAAAAUAUUUAUUUUAUUUUUUUAUAAAUACUAUUAAAUGUUUUUAACGGUAACAUAUUUUAAAAAGUAUAAUAAUUUUACAUAAAAAAAUUAUGUUUACUAAUUACAUUUUUUUUAUUUUUUUCCUAACAUAUCAUUAUCUGCAACUUGUCAUAUUAAAGAAUUGAAGAUUUAUUUGAGUAGUUAACUUUUUUACAAAAAGAACUAAUUAAUUUAUUAUUUUUAUAAAUUGUUACACCCCAUACCCGGUCUAGAUGUUAUGGCCGGAUCUUGAGGAAUUACAGAAGUUCAUUUUAAAACUAGAUUUUUAAUUUGAAAUCGUAUAAUAGAAUAAUGUUAACUUUGUAAAAUCGCUUUCUGAUUUUAAGGGAAAUACUCAUUUAAACUAUUUCUUUUAUUGCAGAAAAACACUUCAGUGAUCACUUCAUUUUGCAGCGGAAAUUUUCUAAGUUAUAAAAUAUUGAAAACUGUGGCUUGGUUUGUAAAACAAAUAAUUUUGCAGUUUAAAAAUAUAACAGUUGCAAAAUCCGUUAAAGCAAAUCAAAACAGAAAAUAAAGUCCCAGAAUAAUUUACAGUCCAAAAAAUUCAUAAUAAUUACAUUAACCAUUUUAAUUUAGAGAAUCUAACCCAAGCUCCCACACGUCGUCCAAUAUUAGGUUUCCUAAUCACCUGAGAUGAUAAAAGUAAAGGGUGAGCUAACAAGUUUCAUGUGUAACUCAAUCCAUACAAACAACACAGAUACAGUAACCGAUACGAAUAUAGAUGCAACUACAGAUACUAAUACUGGUUCUAUUUCCAUUCGCUACACACCAUCUUCAUCCAUCCCUACACACGAUUAGGGUAUUAAAUAUCCAUCCAACCCACACACCUAUAAGUGAGCAUAUGUCAUUUUUCAAAAUAGUGCAAUCAAGCUACCAGAAAUAAUGCGGUAAUCCACCAGAAUUAGAUAAGUGUGGUAAAGCCACCAGAAUAGAUAUGUGGUUUAAACUACCAAAUAAGGCAAAUCAUUAAAUUGUCAACACUUCCUCCAUCAUAUCAUUAUCCCACCCCAAUGCACAUGCAAACACUAAUUAGAUAAUAGAUACAUAUAAAUUGCACUAACAAAAGUAAAAUAUUAGAUUUCAUAUCUAUAAGUCAUACAUAACACAUUACGGAACCUAAGAAAUGGCAAACCUCGAAUCGUACUUCAAAUACGGCCCUAACUAAAUUUUACAAAAAAUGGGCUCACACGCCUGUGUGGCCCACAUGAUCUGGCACACGGCCUCACACAUGCUCAUGUGGCCCACGGCCCACUUAACUUAGCCCGUGUGGCUUAUACAGUUUGGCACACGGUAGUGUGGCGUCGACAGUGAAUUUUUUGGCUUCGAGAUUAUCGUUACACACCUAGUCGUUUUUCGAUACUAACACCACUACAAGGAUUCUAGAACCUAAAACAACAUUUAACACGAACAAUUUAGAAACUAUACACUAAAUAUAAGCCACUAAUUCAGCCACAACCACUAACAUUAGGCUUUAACAAGCCAAAAAUUAGUCUUUCGGACAUUUGGUUACUUACCCAGAACAAUAGCGACAGUCCUAAAAAUCUCCUAAUUCACUGAAAAGACGUCACACGCCUCACAAACUUCUCCUAUUGAAACAUAACAUGUCAUACGGAAACGAAUUAACCUUACUACUGAAGAACACACUUACGAGACUUGCACUUGAACAAAAAUACGAAUUCCUUGCUCGAACAUAGCACCACGAUGAUUACACGUCAGAAAAUCAAUACCAAAAUGAUUUAAACACAGGACCUCUAAGUAAGCUGAAGUCUUACCACUGAACCAACAAGCUCAUUUUUAUCAUUAAUUGAGCAAAAAUAAUAUAUAAGCUUAAUAUCCAAAUCAAGGGUUGGGUCAAAAAUUUUUUUAAAAAAAUUAAACAAAAGAAUUUGAAGGCCAUUUUACCAAAAUAGUCCAAAAAAAUAUUAUAUUUACAAAAAUAACUCAGGUUUAAAAACAAUCACCAAAAUAACCUAAAAUGAACAGUACCCACUCGUUUUUUGCACCCAUGAUUGCCUAAUAAUUGUGUCAGAAUUAAAAAAAUUAAUUUUUUUGGGUUUUGGCCUGUCAACGGCCGGAACCCAUGUAUUUUUUUAAAUUGUAUAAUAUUGAUAUACGAAAAAAGGAAAAAAAGAAAAACGAAAAAAAAAAUUUUGGGUGCUGGCCUAUCAAUGACCAGCACCCAGUACAUAUUUUUUAAAAAAAAUUCUUUUUUUUCGCAUCAGAAUCAGAUAACAGAUAUCAGAUAUCAGUACAAUUUAAAAAAGAAUUCUUUUUUUUGUGUCAAAAUCAGAUAUCAAUAUACGAAAAAAAUUAAAAAACAAAUUUUUUUGGGUGUCGGCCAUUGAAUAGCCGGCACCUAGUACAAAUUUAAAAAAAAAAAUCUUUUUUUUUUCGUGUCAAAAUCAGAUAUCAAUAUACGAAAAAAAUUUAAAAAAAAAUUUAGGUGCAGGCCUGUCAAUGGCCGGCACCCAGUACAAUUUAAAAAAAUUUCUUUUUUUUUUCGUGUCAGAAUCAGAUAUUAGUAUACGAAAAAAGUAAAAAAAAAAUUUGAGUGUUGGCUAGUCAAUGGCACGAAAAAAAAUUUGAUAUUUGAUUCUGACACAAAAAAAAAAGAAAUUUUUUUUUAAAAAUUGUACUGGGUGUCGGCCAUUGACAGGCUAACACCCAAAAAAAAAAUUUAAUUUUUUUUUGUAUAUUGAUAUCUGAUUUUACCACGAAAAAAAAAAGAAAUUUUUUUUUUAAAAUUGUACUGGGUGCUGGCCAUUGACAGGCCAGCAUUCAAUUUUUUUUUUUUGUAUACUGAUAUCUGAUUCUGACACGAAAAAAAAGAAAAAAAUAAUUUUAAUUGUACUGGGUGCCGACCAUUGAGAGGCCAACACCCAAAAUUUUUUUUUAAUUUUAUUCGUAUAUUGAUAUCUGAUUUUGACAUGAAAAAAAAAUUUAAAAUUGUACUGGGUGCCGGCCAUUGAAAGGCCAGCAUCCAAUUUUUUUUUAAAUUUUUUUCGUAUAUUGAUAUCUGAAUCUGAUUUUGACACGAAAAAAAAAUUAAAAAAUUAUACUGGGUGCCGGCUAUUGACAUGCCAACACCCAAAUUUUUUUUUAUUUUUUCGUACACUGAUAUCUGAUUCUGAAACAAAAAAAAUUUUAAAAUUUGUACUGGGUGCCGGCCAUUGAUAGGCCAACACCCAAAAAUUAUUUUUUUUCGUUUUUCGUAUAUUGAUAUCUGAUUCUGACACGAAAAAUAUAAUUUUUUUUUGUACAUUCCGGCACCCAAAAUUUUUUUUUCCUUUUUCGUAUAUCAGUAUUAUAAAAUUUAAAAAAAUACAUGGGUUCCGGCCAUUGACAGGUCAAAACCCAAAAAAUUAAUUUUUUUAAGCCUGACACAAUUAUUAAGCAAUCAUGGGUGCAAAAAACGAGUUGGUACUGUUUAUUUUAGGUUAUUUUGGUGAUUGUUUUUAAAUCUGGGUUAUUUUUAUAAAUAUAAUAUUUUUUUAGACUAUUUUGGUAAAAUAGCCGAAUUUGAACCUAGAACCUCAUACACACUAACACAACACAUAGCCACUAAACUAGAUUAAUCACUUUGAUAAUUUUUAACAAUUCAAAAAUAAAAAUUUUGGGGCGUUACAAUAAUAAUAUGGUUUAAAUUAUUUUUUACAUCAUUCAUAAAAAUUAUAACAAACUUACAAAAAGAUUUAAUGAUAUUUAAUUAUUAACGGGUAAAAAAAUUAUAUCAUAUAUCAUAUAUAUUCUAUAUUUAUUAUAAUAGUUUCAUCUUUCAAAUUUUCUUCCUCAUAAUUAAAGCAUAAGUUAUAUUUAUAAUAUUAUAAAAUAUUAUAUUUAAAAAAUUUACACACACAAUCAACCUAUGCAUAGCACGAGAUAAGAAAACUAGUUUAUCAAUAUGAACGAGUUUACAUAAACUUUAAUAUACAAAAUUCGAGCUAAAUCUAGCUUCAAUUUUUUGGUCAACUUCUUUUGACUUUAAAUCUUACUUCUUCUUCUUCUUUUGGCAUAACGACUUAUUUGGCACAAAAACAAAAGUCAUUUUAGCUUUUUAUGUAUUUUUUCACCAUUUUUAACCUUUAAACUUACAUUUUUUGUCAAAUCGCUCCAAAAUGAAUCGGUAUGUUAAUGUUUUUUAACUUUGCUAAUGUUGCAUACAUAUGGAUUGCUAUGUGGAUGACACAUCAACAUUUAAUUAAUUUUAAAAAAUAUAAAAAAACUAUUUUUAAAAAUUAAAAUCAUUAAAAUUAUCAAAUAAAUAUAAAUAUUUUUAAAAAUUAAUUAAAUGUUGAUGUGUCAUCUACGUGGCUAUCCAUACGUAUGUCAUGUCAGUAAAGUUAACAAAUAUUAAUAUUUUCAUCCAUUUUGGAAUAAUUUGACAAAGAAAUAGAAGUUCAAAAACUAAAAAAGAAAAAAUUAAAUAUAAGACCAAAAUAUAUAUUUUUAAAUUGAAGGACCAAAUAAAUGAUUAUGUAAAGUUGUGAAUAUUAAUCUUACCAUAACAAUCAUAAUUCGCUUAUGCUUUAUUCAUUUUUAGGGUUUUCCUUACUAGGAGUCUAGGAUACUUGAAGGCAGAUAUUAUUAUUAUAAAUAUUAUUAUAUAUUAAAUUAAUUUUUAUGUUUAAUAAUUAAAUUUAAACAUAUUUUUUUAAUUAAGGAACAAUAAUUUGGUCCGGAUGCGUCCUUGGACAGUUUUGUAAUUUCCCAAGUUAUUAACUUUUGUUUAGGGUUUAUCAUAGUUAGGAAUUAAUUGGCCUAAUUUCUCAACUUAGAUUUGAUGAUACGAUUAAAAAAUAGGAAAUAUCAAAAUCUGAUAAUAUGAAUUAUUUGUUGACACCUUUUUUUUGAUAAAACGGGGUCGACUUGGAUUUUGAAAACGAAAACGAAAAUGGGAGUCGCCACCAAUCCUUUUUGAUGAGGUGUAAUCGGAUCACCUUGAAAAGUGGUUGUUUUUAAUAAACGAUUUGAUUUUGUUAAAACAACAAUUUUGGUCCACGAAAUUCAGAAAAUCAGGUUCGGGAGUCGAUUACGUACGAGGAAGGAUUAGCACCCUCGUAACGCCCAAAAUUGGUACCUAGUUGAUUAAUUAGUGUCAUAGUGUCGAGAAUUGGAAACUUUGAAGAGAUUCAAAAUACGAUCCUUGAUUUUAAAAAACUUAUAUAAAAUAAGUUACUCGUUAAGACCCUCUCAUUUCGGAAAGAGAAAAUGUCACACCCAAUGAGUUAGGGCAUAAUAUUUCACUUCCUCAAAAAUGAGCUUAUCCAAAAAAAAAACUCGUGCAAUAAAAUUUAAAAGGAUAUUCAAUUGUUUAAGUCAGAUGAGGAAAUCGCAGCCCAAUACGUUAGGGCACAAUUUCUCAAAAUUCUAAACAUUGAAUAUUACCUUUAUUAUUUUUAGGAAAAUCCUCAUCUCGAGAAAACAACGUGUCAUAUCCAAUGCGUUAGGACACAACGUAUUGAAUUCCCGGUAAUGAGCUUUUUAUUCAUGUGUUUUUUUUAUUAAAGAGCAUUCUCGACUAUUUAGAUUAAACGAAAGAAAUUGGAACCCAAUACGUUAGGGCUCAAUCCUCUCGAAGAUCCCAAAUACCGAGUAUUGCCUUUAUUUUCAAAAUUUCCUCUUUUUACAAAUUCGGGUAAAAAUUGAUGUAAUAUUAAAUUUGAUAUAUGAAUAACAGCCGCAUUAAUAAAUGACAAUAAUGAAUAUGACGAUGUAGCAUAAAUAAUACAAGCAAUAGUAACGAAAAUAAAUUAGAUAAAAAUGAGAAAUCGAUGACAUACAAAAUAACAAGUAUAUAAGCAAAUAAAAUUAAAACAUUCUUUUAAAAUAACAAUGAAAAUGUAAAUAAAUAAGUAAAUAAAGAAAAUGAAUAAAAUUAUAAAAAAAUUUAAAAAGAUAUAUAUGUAUGUAUAUUAAAAUAUAUGUAUAUGUAUUUACAAAAUAUAAAAAAAUGUAUAAGUACAUAUAUAUAGGUAAAGUAUGAAAAUAUGUGUAUAUAUGUACAUAAAUUAAAAUGCGUAUAUAUAUAGGUAUAUAUAUAUAUAAAUGAAAUAUGUAAGACUAUACUUAUAAUGAUUUAAAAAUGUACAUAUAUAUAUUAUAGGGACUGUAUGUAUACAUAUGUAGGGAUUAUAAAAUGUAUAUGCCUAUAUAUAUAUUAGAAAUAUGCAUGCCUAUAUAUAUAUAACAAGAUUUUGGAAUAAAAAAAAAAGGUGUAACCGAAUAAAUAAUAAUAAUAAGUAAUAAUAUAAUAAUAUUAAUAGUAUUAAAUAAUUACUUUUAAUAGAAAAAUAACUAAAAUAGCAUAUUGAGGAUUAAAUUGAAAAUAAACGGAGUUUUAGGGCUGGAUUUAAAAAUGGAAAACACAAAGGGGACCGAUUUAUAACACACGCGAAGUCCAGAGGAUUGAUUUGGAAAAUAUCCCAAGCCCUACGCGUAGCGUUUUGAUGCGGACUGAAAUGAAACAUAAGAGAAAUUAUGCAGCCGAAUUAAAAAAACAAAAUGGGACCAAAUUGCACUAGGCUGCGAAAGAGGACGGACCUCUAGCGAAAUAUCCCCCUUCACUGCAGAAACACGAGGAUCCUGAGGGCGGACGGGUCGAGUCACGGGUCAGGGCCAAAACGACGUUGUUUUGGCACCUGAUCCCUAGUUGCAAAACGGGGCCAUUUUAUUUAGGGUAUUUAAGUAAAAAAAAUUGAAAAAUCAAUACAGCCACCAUUUAAAAAAAAUUCAAAACCCCUCCCCUUUUAUCUCAAGAUCCGGCUCUCAGUCCCCUCGGCCUCCGUCGCCCCGCCUUUCUGCUCGCCGCACCGCCACCGUAUUCGACGACCGACGAAGCGCAAGAACGGGCGUUCGAAGCCUUGCCCCGGUGAGUUUCCCCUUUCCUUCUUUUUUUUUAUUUACCAUAUAUAAAAAGAAUUAAAAAUAGAAUAAAAAAUAGGGAUACACUAUCAAAAUAUGGAUCUUGUUCCAAAAUCAAACAAUCACCUUGAGAUUGUUGUGUUUCUUUUUAUUCUUUGUGUCUUUUUGAUUUUCUGAAAUGUUCAAAAGAAAAGAAAAAAAAAACCCUUACAAUCGGUUUUAGAUUGCUUUUAUAGUCAUUUACAACACUUUUUUUUAUCUAUUUUUCUAAUGUUUCUCUUGCGUGCAUGUUCUUCUUUGUAGGGAGUGGUUGGCGCGACAGGGAGGAGCGGUGGUGGUAGCUGAGGCUAGGGAUAGGGUGAGGUGGCUUCUGAAACCCUAGUUUGACUAUUGGGUCAGUGGGUUUUGGGUUGUAAUGGGCUAGUAUUUUGGGUUUAAGUUUGGGUUUCAAUUGGGCUAGGGUGUUUUGGGUUAAAUUUCUUGGACUGUUAAUUUUUUAAUUUGUUUGGGUUUUAUUUGUCUGGGCCCGGGUAAAAAUGGGCUUGUACAUUCUUAAUACUAGUUUUUUUUAUAUGAGUAAAUAGAUAAUUACUUGAACCAAUUUAAUAAAAAUUAAUAUAUUAAAAAAUAUAAUGUCAUCAUUUUAAUAGUUUAUAUCUUUAUAAAUUUUAAAUGAUUAAAUUAAAUUUUUAUUAUUUGAGAGGUUAAAGUACACUUUUACUAUUACUAAUUUAAAAUUUUAUAAAUUAUAAAGGAGACUAAAUAAAAAAAAAUCCAUUUUAGGGAGGCCGGAAAACCUUGCCAGCCUCCCUGACUUCACCAUUAAAAUCUAGAAUAUGCUCCUCACUAUGCGUCGGAAAAUUAAAGAUUUAAAAUUAUAUUAUCGUGUAAUAGAUAUAAUGAUUUUAAUUUUUUAAAUAAAUAAAUAAAGUUAAAGUUAAAAUCAAAUCAAUGUGAUCAAUUGUACUAAAUAUAGAUGAUUUAAGACAUGAUGCAAAUAAAGCAUAGUAAAAUAAUUAAUAUAUAGCAUGCCAUGAUAACAAAUGCGAAUUUAGAGAGGCAGACAAGGGUUCUUUUACUAUUUAGGUUUUUAAGUUUUUUUAAAAUUUUAAAUUAGUAAAUGUAAAAUUGUACUUUGCCCCUUCAAGUUAUAAAAAUUUGAUUUAAUCUUUUAAAAAUCUGGCUUCGCCCCUGCAUGAUAAUAAUAUUAAUACAACACAAAUACACAAAAAAAUCAAAUUUUAUACAUAAUAAUUAUUUACUUGUAUAAUUUUGUAAUAUUUUGAAUACAAAGAAAUAACACAAACAAUUUUCUCUAAAUUGAAUCACUCAAAUAAAAUAUUUUAAAUAUCUCAUAAUUUUAAAAUGUAGUAUAAGGAUAAUUUUAAAAAAUAAUUUAUUAUGAUAAAUUAUAUAAAUUAAAUAAAGAAACAAUACUAACCCAAUAUAAAAGAAAUGUAAUAAUAAUAUCAUAAACAAUUUUUAGUUAAUUAAACAUUGGAUAGCUUCGCUGGAUCAUGUCCUGGCUUCCUCAUGUAUAAGAAAAAGCCUCACAUUGAGGGGCCAGUAGACGUUUGGCCUUCAAACGAUUGACUAAUUUUUGUCUUUUAAUUAGAAUUUGGCACGUUGAUGAUGGGAGGAAAGAAAGGAAAGCGUGAAAUAGAUUUCAUCGUGGUCUGGGUCAUUCGUCCAGAUUCGAAGGUCUACUUAAAAAGUGAGAAAGUUUAAGUAAAAAUAUAGGCUCGAAAAAUAGAUUUCGGCAAAAAAUAAUACUCGUUUUCUAAACGGGUCAAGCCUCGGAUAAGAUCUUUUGAUCUGGCCUGGCCUGAAUUUGCCUAAAAAAAUUUUCACUACUGUUUAGUGUUGGUUUGUUGUUGUUUGCAGCCAUUUUGAUGUUGUUUUGUUAUCAUAUUGCUACUAUAUUACUACUAUUUUGUUGUUAUUGUUUGGAUAUUAUAUAUCUCUUGUUUUAUUAUUAAUUUUGCUACUAUUUUAGAGGCAUUUGCUUGUUAAAUUGCACUAUCUUAGUGUUAUUUAAGUAUAAAGACUUUUUUUAAUGUAUUUUCAAUUUAUUGGGAAACGUUUAUUUUAAUGUUUUUAGUGUAUUUGAUGUAUUAUAUUUUGGGUAGACUACCAAAAUAGUCACUUUUGUUUACCUCGGGUUACAUUUUAGUCACUUAUGUUUGAAAUGUUAGGUUUUAGUCACUUACAUUAUCGUUUUGUUACGAAAUGGUUGUUACUCUAUCAUUAAGAUUUGUUACUAGUUCGUGAUAGAAUGUGCAAGUGUACACAGUCGUUAUCAAGUAAUAAGUAAGUAAAAAGAGUUAUUGUCUCCACAGGGACUGUGUUUAAAUUGAUAAUUGUAAAAUUACUAUUCACAAGUUGGUUAAAAAAACACAAUAUUUUCAAGGUGAUUGAUGUUAGAAUUAAAUUAAUGCAAAUGAAUUAACCUAAAUGCAAUGCAAUGAAAUAAGAUGCAAUGAGAUGGUUUAGCAACAAUUUCAUAAGUUUUAACAAAAAUAACACGAAUGAGCUAGAACAACUACAACACUUGACUCAAUUAGUAUGAUGAUAAUCAGUAUGUUUUUUUCACCUUCAUGUUGGAAAUUCGUCAUGCGUAAUUAUACACGUAGACCUUUAAAUUCAAUAAUGUGUGAUUGUCAUGUGUGGUUGUCAUGUGUGGAUUUUAAUUUACACUAUAGCAAAACAGGUUUUUAGCGGCGUUUAUAGCGGCGUUUGAACGAAAAGCGCCGCAAAAAAUCGAGCAUUAGUGGCAAAUUCUAACAAAUGCCACAAUAUGUAAGCAAUAGCGGUGCUUUUACUAAAACGCCGCAAAUGAUCAAGCAUUAGGGGUGCUUAUAGAAAAACGCCGCAAAAAACUUGGGAAAAACAACGCCGUUUGCUUUUUCCAUUAGCGGCGAUAAUUAACAAACGCCGUAAAAAAUCUAGAAUUAGCGACACUCUUUUACAAACGCCGCAAAAGAUCGAGAAUUAGUGGCGUAUUCUGUAAAACGCCGCUAAAGGUCAAACAUUAGCGGCGCUUUACGAAAAACGCCGUAAAAAAUUUGAGAAAACGACAUCGUUUUGUAUUUUGAGAUUUAAUGGUAUUAGCGGCGCAUUUUAACAAAUACCACAACAGAUCGAGAAUUAGCAACGGUUUUUAUGAAACGCCGCUAAAAAUGAGCAAAACGAUUUCGUUUUUUUGUUUAGCAUUAGCGGUGUUUUUUAAGAAACGCUGCAAAAAAUAGUUUUAUUUUACACUUUUUGGUUUAGGGUUUAUGGUUUUAAGGUUUAAAGUUUAAGGUUUAGGGUUAGUAUUUAAGGUUUAGGGCUUAGGGUUUAUGGUAUAAUGUUUAUUAUUUUCGGAUUAGAAUUUUGAGUUUUGCGUUUAUGGUUUAGAGUUUGUGGUUUGGAGUUUAAGGUUUAGGGUUUAGUAUUUAAGAUUCUUUUUUAAUUACUUUUGUCCCCUAUAAUAUCUAUAUUUAGGGUUUAGGGUGUAUGAUCAUGGUUUAGGGUUUAAGGUUUAUGGUUUAAGAUUUUAAGGUUUAGAGUUUAGUUAAUACGGGAGAGGUUUAUGGUUUUGGAUUUAAGGUUUAGGGUAAUUUAAGAAUUAUGGUUUAGGUGUUUAGGGUAUAGGGAUUAGGGUUUAAAUUUUAUGGUCUAGGGGUUUUAGGAUUUAGGGGUUUUUGGGUGUUUAGGAUCUUGGGUUUAGGGUUUUUUGUCUAAUUAUGAAUUUCAUCCUUCUAUCUUAUAAAAAAAAAGUUAAGCUUUUUUCUUUAAUUCAUUAGAAUUUAAUCUUUGUACUUUAAAAAAAACUAAUUUUAAAAUAAUUAAUAGAAUUAUUAAAAUUUUAAGAUACCCAAAUUAAAUUAUUUUUUAAUAGUAGAGGAAGAAUUGUCUUCCAUCAUUGUAUUCAAUUUUAAAAUUGAACAAUUAAAUAAUGUCAUAUUAAAAAUUUUAAAAAUUUAACAAUUAAAAAUAAUGUCAUAUAUAUUAGUGUAUCAAAUUUUAAUUUUAUAAAAUCGUUAAAUAUUUUUCAAAUAUUUAACGGUCGUGGCGUUUGGACCAAAAACGCACUACACCAAAACAGACUUUUAGCGGCGCUUUUUUAGGCCUUUAGUGGCGCUUUUUAGCACCGUCGCUAGACCAAGACCAUUAGCGGCGCUUCUUUCACAAACACCGUUAAAGACCAUGACCUUUAGCGGUGCUUUUCCCACAAACGCCGCUAAAGACCAAGACCAUUAGCAGCGCUUCUCGCAAAAAUGCCGCUAAAAACAUAACCUUUAAAAAAUUUAUUUUAAUCAAAUUAUAUUUAUUUUUAUGAUAAAUAUUAUAUUUUGUUUUAUUUUAUUUUCUAAAUUUGAACUUUAAAUAUACUUUUAAGGAUAAAUAAAAAAUAUUAUUUAAAUUAAAUUUUCUAUGAAAAUUUUAACUUUAAAACUAAAUAUAAAAAUUAAUGAAUUUAGUUUUAGAAUUUAAAAUAAUAAAUUAAUAACACAAUUAAAAUCCAAAAGUUAGAACUCUUAAGGAAAAAUAAAAAUUUAGAAUCAAAACUAAAAUAAAUAAUACAUAUGCAAGGUAAUAAAACAUACAAUGCAUUUUCUUAAUCAAGUAAAUCUUGGUAAUAAAAUAUAUAAUACAUUUAUUUAAUCAAGGAUCUCUUGUAAUGAACUCAAAGCAAUGAGCGUGAAACUGAAAGCAGCAGAAUCGUAAUGAACUCAAAGCAAUGAGCAUCAGAAUUGAGAAGAAAAAAAGAAUCACGAUACGCAAACGAGAUCCAGAACUUCUGUUCCUUUGGACGCCCACACUGGAUAGUCCCCGCUUCAACGCCAUUGGCUAUCAGAGCCUAAUAACAACAAUAGCAGCAGCAAAAUCACUCAUCAAAAGGUGGAAAAAGGAUAAUUACAAGUUAACAGUGAGGAGAUCGCAUGAAACUGAAAGCAGCAGAUCCGUAUCGAAGCUAGUUGGAAUGGAAAUCCAUGGGAAAGCAAGCAUAGAUUAAAACUUCAUAGAACUUUCUCUAAAAACUUCAUAGUAAACUGCUUCAGUCUACUUUUUAUUUUACUUGUACAACAAUUACAUGAUAUGCCAAAAUAAAAAAUAUGGGUCUGCGCCACAGAAUCCAUAAAAAACUUCAUAGAACUUUCUCUAAACUUUUACUUGCCAAUGUUGUCAACCUUUUUUCAGGAAUUUGGAGCAUGCAGAAACCAUAUAAUUUAGCUAUCCCAUUUUACAGUGAAAGCUAGGAACACACAAGAAACAGAUGAAAAAGGAUAAAUCUAAUACCCGUAAAGCAUCAGUAACUUGGCGUCCUUGUAGCCCAUCUUUUUGCAGAGACCAUCUAUUCUCAGCAUUUUUCUUCUUUGAAAAACCCGUAAAAUAUGGGUUUUGGUGUUAAAUAAUGCAACUGCCAUCAACAUCAAGGUCGAAAUCAUAGCUUAUUCUUCCAUGUUAAGAAAAGUAUGCUAAAAAAUGAGGGUUAGAAAAUAAAAUAAUGCCUGGUUUGAAACAUACACCAUUGAUGUAAGAAUAGGGUUAGAACUCUAUGAACAUUAAGCAAAAUAGCCAAUUUAAAUUCACUUAACAACAUUAAGAAAAAUGAUACAAAUGCAAAAAAGAAAAAAAUAAUAAAUAUAUACAAGACAAACAAAAGAAGAGAAGAUUAGUACUAAACCAAUGUUCCCUUACCGAGAAGACAUGAUUUCUAAUCAAUGAAUUAGUGCCACAAAAUAAACAAAAAGAUCAGCGGCACAGGCACAGAACUUGCGCAUUUUUUAACUGCAAUUAAAUCCAGUUCCAUUUUGCAUAUAUAAAAAGAAAAUAUAAGCUCAAUGUGCCAAAAAAACUAAUAAAAUUUGAGCUCAACUUAACAAAAAUCAAAGUGCAGCCAAACAAUGACUCUAGUUCUGACCUUAAUAAUGGCCAACUAACUAAAACUUCCUUCAUACCAAACAAAGACAGUAUAUCGAUAUUCUUCAUACCAAACAAAGACAGUAUAUCGAUAAGCUUAGUGCUAAAGGCCCGAGCAUUAGCGGCGCUUAGCAUUAGCGGCGCUUCUUCAAAAACGCCGCUAAAAGCCCCAAAAACUCAGAAAACGGUGUCGUUGGGCUUUGGCUUUUUGCAGCGCUUUUUAGAAAACGCCGCUAAUGCUUAUUUUUAGCGGUAUUUUCUGAAAAGCAUCGCUAAUGCUCUACCUUUAGCGGCGUUUUUAUAAAAGUGCCGCUAAUGCUUGAUUUUUAGUGACGUUUUUUGCCCAAACGCCGCUAAAAGCUUGUUUUUGUGUAGUGAUGCCACAACAAUGUCUUAAAAAUUAUACAAAACGGGGCCGUUUGGUUACAAGAAUUUAAUUUUUAGUGGUGUUUUUCUCCACAACGCCGCAAAAGGUAUGCAAUAGCGGCGUUUGUUAUAAAAAUGCCACAACAAUGUAUUAAAAAGUGCACAAAAACUGCGUCGUUUGCUAACAGGAUUUUAACUUUUUAGUGGCGUUUUUCUCAGAAUCACCGCAAAAGGUAAGCAUUAGCGGCGUUUUGUCUAAAAACGCCGCAACAAUGUAUUAAAAAUUGUUCAGAACGGUGCCAUUUCGUUUCAGAAAAUUAAAAAUUGCUCAGAACGUCGUCGUUUUCUUCCACAUAACAAUUUUCUUCCCCUUUCCCGCACCCAGCCCCUAAUUCCCCUUCCAAAUCCCUAAUUCCCCUUCGAAAUCUCUUCCAAAUCCCUAAUUCCACUCAUUCACAGAGACGAACCUGCAGAACUAGCAUUGGUUUUAUUUUUGUUUCUUCGAUUCUUCAUUUCGUUUUUUACUUAUUGGGAGCAUCUAUUUCGAUUUCUUCACAACAUUUAGACGAAGACAGAGUAAACGACAUUCUAUUUUUUGGGUAAGCUUGAACCAGUUUCAUUUCCUUUUUUUACGUGUUUAGGGUUUGGGUUAUUCUUGUUUGUGUGAAUUUUUUGUUUUUUUCAAAGUUAUUGACCCUGAAAUCCAGUUAAUUUGUCUUUGGUUUUAGGGUUUCCGAUCUGUAAAAACGUUCGCAUUUCACACUUUUACUCGUGGAAUUUGUUCUGAAGUGAUUUAAUUUCUUUUCAUCUUCCUAAAGGUAUUUUUUUCUUCUCUCUUAAUUCUAGUUUUAGCAAUUUAGUCUAUUUAGGGUUUAAACCAUUUACUGUUACAUUUUGACAAUAAAAUGCAUGCUUUCGAGUGCCUGAAUUUAUUUUGUAUUGAAAUAUAUUUUAAAAUAUAUCAUUAGUGCAUUAUUGGUUGCUUUCUCAUGCAGAUUUAGCAAUUUAGUCAGGCAGAGGCAGAGUAGUAGUUUUUUCUUUCCAUUUUGAUUGUAGCAAUUUAGUCGGCAAAUUUGGUAGCUCUCACUGGUUUGAAGCAAUACACAGAAAGUCUAGAUAACCAGAAGGUUAGUUAAUCCUUUAUUUUCUUUUUUUUUCAUUUUUUAAAUUUACGUUUGAAUUUGGUAUAUUUUUAGUUGGGACUGUUUUAUUUAGGAAUUUGGUUAAUGUUGCUGCAAGUUCUUUUUUGCUGCAAGUUCUUUUUUGCUCCAUUUUCUACUAAGUGUUGUAUGUUAAGAUCGGUUAUGGAAUAUAUUUGCAAUUAUCAUACAGUAUUUUGGUUUUUAAAAAUCCAAAUUGAAAUCAAAUUGAACCGAACCUUUCACUGGUUUGAAUCGGUUUGGUUCAUCAAUAAAUACAUAAUUUCUUUAAAACUUUUUUUUAUAUUAAAGUUACUUUCACUCGUUUAAAUAUGAAGUUUUUAUUUUCCCACUGUGAAAGUUUUUAAUUUUUAAUUUUUGUUUGGAUAAUUUUGGUUUAUCAACUUGUGAAAUGAAUUGAUUAAACGUUUUUAUGAAUCGAAUUUGUUUCAAGUUCAGAUUUGAUUUGGGUUUGUUGUAAUUAUAUAUUUUCAAAUGAAUAAAUAAUGCAUAAGUUUACAAAACAUAAUGUGUUAUUGCUCACGAAAACCUAAAAGAUUAUGUCCGAAUAAAGACAAAACUGCAGCUAUAGUCCAUCAACAUCAAAUUUGUGGAAGGACUUAAAAGGAUUAUGCUUAAUGAAAAUGGUUGCUAUAAAAAUUAUUUUUUUGAAUAAUUAUGAGUAAAUUUUUUAAAAAAUCGAUCUACUCUAAAUUUAGUGUAUGGCAUAUUUUGUAAAGAUAUACGAUAAAUACACUUGUCAAUUUUUUUAAUUUCCAUUUUAAAAUUGCCGCAAAAACAACUCUUUUUUAUUAGGAUUUAAUUAAAUUGAUUUCAAUCGGCAAAGUAUGAUGAAAUUCUUACUAUCAUUAAAAAAAUAGGUAAAUGUUAUGUUGUUGAGAUGUUUUAGGUUGGUUAAUAUUGGUUACGAUACUUUAAUCACCUCCAAUAUAUAUAAAAAAAAAUUAAAAAUUUGAGAAUUUAUGAAAUGAUAUAAUGUUAAUUCGUUAGCAUUAAAUAUUCUUAUUAUGUUACAAGUCAAUUAAAUUGAUGUCUUGAGCUUUGAUUUAAAUUAAAAAAGAAUAAAUUUAAACAUUAGAACGGAAAUAUCUAUAUUAUAAUAUUUGUAUCUAUAUACUAUUAUUUUAGUGUUUUAUUGAGUUGAUGUUAAUAUUUAAUAUUUUUAAAUGUUUUUAAAACUUAAAAAAUAUAUAUCAUAGCUUACAUAACUUACAUAACUCGCAUAACUUAUAUAUAUCAUACCAUAACUUAAAUAACUCACAUAACUUACAUAACUUAAUAACUUAUAUAUAUUGUCGAAACCAUUUUUAUAAAAUUUGAAAAACGGGGAUCGACUUCGAAAAUAAAAUGGGAGUCGCCACCGAUCUUUUAUUAAGGUGUGACCGGUUCACCGUUAAAAUGAUUUUGGUCUGCGAAAUUUUGAGAAAAUAAUUUCGGGAGUCGGUUACGUACGAGGAAGGGUUAGCACCCUCGUAACGCCCAAAAUUGGUACCAAAUUGAUUGUUUAAUGUCUUAAUGUCGAAAUUUUGAAAAAAUUUUGAAAUACAAUCCUCUGAAGUUUAAAUUUGAAUAAACCAAAUUGCAUAAUAAGACGCACUUAUUUCGAAGAAAUAAAUUGCCACACUCAGUGAGUUAGGGUGCAACAGUUCAAUCUUUAAAGUUAGAUUUGUCCUUUUAGAUUUUAAAAAUUCACGUGUUUUGAGAAGGAUAUUUGGUUAGUUGGGUCAAUCGAGAAAUUGGAAUCCAAUAAGUUAGGGUUCAAUUUCUCGAGAUUCCUAAACACCAAAUAUUGCCUUUAUUUUAAAAUCGAGAGAACAAGAUGUCAUAUCCAGUAAGUUAGGACCCAACAUCUUGAAAUCUCACAUGCUUUAUUUUGAAAUUGUAUGGUUUUAACAAAAUAAGCACUUGGCUAUCUAAAUUCAUCGAGAAGAGUUGAAGCCCAGUAAGUUAGGGCACAACUCACUCGAGAACCAUGAACACUAGGCCUUUUCUGAAAAUUAUGAAAUAAAAUGAUUGUGGUGCUUUGAUAAAAUACAAUUUUUACAAAUGAGACAUGAUUGAAUAGUAAUACAUAAUAUAAAAGAUAAAAGAUAAAUAGCAACACAAACCUACACUAAGACGUAACAAGUAGGUGAUAGAUAAAUACAAAUAGCAAUAAUGAUUUUAGUCAUAUUAUACUAAUACCAACAUCAAUGUUCGAAAGCUAAACAAAUCUAUCAUCAAUUUUAAGAAUACACCAAGAUAAUAAAAAAAUGAAAAAAAUAUCCUACGUAUAAAAGUUUUAAAAUAAAUUGCAUGCAUGAACUCAAAAUAAACUUGAAAUAAAAUAAUAACAACCUUGAAAAAUAGUAUAUAAAAAAAAUUAUAUAAACAUUUAGCAUAUAGAUAUACAAAAAUGAAUUUUAAGAUAUAACCUAAACAAAACAUUAAAAUGUAUACAAAUUAUACCAAAUUCUUAUAAAAAUAUACAUAUUAAUAAAUAAUGAAUCAAAUAAUAACAUGUCAAGUUUGAAGAUAAAAAUAUAUAAUAGAUAUUAAAAAAAUAAUAUAUGAUAAAUUUAAAACAUAUCAAUAAUAAUUUAAAAUAAUAGUAUAUUACAUUUUAAAAUUAUACUAAUAAUAAGUUUAAAAGUAAUGUCAAACUAAAUAUUAAAAUAUGCUAUAAAUAAAUAUAUUAAAAUAAGUACUAAAUUCGAUUUAAAAUUAUACUAUUAAAAUCAAGUUAAAGUUAAGACAUAAUUUAAAUAUAAAGAAAUAAUAAUAAUAAUAAUAAUAAUAGGAUUAAAAAUGAUAUUGGAAUUCAAAUAAAAAUAAAAAUAAAACACUACAAAUAGAAAUAAAAAAGAAAAAAUAAAGAUAAACUAAAUUGGUAAUCGACGUAAAAAAUGAGGGACUAAAAUUGUAAUUAAACGCAUGACCUGGGCAUUCAAUCCUAAUAAUGAAAACGACACCGCAUAACUAUGGAUCAAAUUGAAAACAAAAUAAAAUACACGAUUCAAAAUAAAAAAAUGAAGAAAAUCAAAUCGAAACAUCACAAAACAAGAGGGACUCAUCGUGCAAAUAGACCAAUGAAUAGAGACGCGCGAAUCCUGCCCCAGGUCGGGUCACCACGUUGGUCUGAGCCUCUAAACGAUGUCGUAUUGUGGCCACUGCACAGGCUCUGAACGACGUCGUUUCUUUCACUACUUAUAAGUAGAACCCUAGAGCAAUCAGCAAUUUAUUUUAUUUAAAAUAAAACCUUAAAGAUUUGAUUGCUGUUUUCAGCGCCGUUCUGUGAUGCAGUCAUUCGAAAAGGAACUUCGAAUCCUUGCUCAACCUCCGAUUGCGACAGAGAGAACCAGGAUCCGGCGGCCAGGUAAGUUCUCUUCUAACUCAUCCUUUUUAAAAAGAAAAGAAAAGAAAAGUAACAUAGAUGGAUCCCCUCGCCGCAUCUGUGGAUCGACUACUCAGGAGAUCCUCAGCCUCGUCCGACCCUGAUUGCGACGGAGCGAACGGAGACCGGGUAAGCCUCUCCUUUCCUUUCUCUCUUCUAUUUUAGUACUAAUCAAUGAACAAAGGAGCAGAGAAAAAAAAGAAAAAGCAAAAAGAUUAACAAUCACCUUUCGAACUUUUCGAUUUCUUCGAAUGAAUUUUUUUUGUAUACAAUAUGCAUGUGUGAUUUUUUUUGUCUCUGUGUCCUUUACAAAGGCCUUGCCUUUUUGUUUUAUAGGCCGAAAGAAAAAAUAAAUAAAAAGAAUCCAUUUUUUCGUUUUCUCUGCUGCGUUUUCUUCCCAUUUGCAGGUAUGGCGUGCGGGGCUGGGGACGUGGCAUGUACGGAGGCGCGCGCGAGGGAAAAGGCUCAGAACGUACGGAGGCUGGUCACGUGCGGACAAAAGGAGCUGCUGCGGCGCUGGGGUUUGCCCUAGGGUUGCUCUGUAUUUUUCUUGUUGGGCCGCUUCGUCAUUGGGCUAGGGUUUUAGAAAUUUAGGUUGGGUCUGGGUUGAAUUUGGGUUGUGAUAUUGGGCUUAGUGGGUCUGAUGUAUUUUGGGUUUGUAAUAUGGACUGAUGGACUUUUAAUAAUUUUGUUUUUAUUUAUAUUUUUUUUAUUUAUUUAUUUCUGAUUUGGACCGGGCAAAUUUGGGUUAUUACAUAUAUCAUACCAUAACUUAAAUAACUCACAUAACUUACUUAACUUAAUAACUUAUAUAUAUCAUACCAUAACUUAAAUAACUCACAUAACUUACUUAACUUAAUAACUUAUAUAUAUCAUACCAUAACUUAAAAUAACUCACAUAACUUAACUUAAUAACUUAUAUAUAUCAUACUAUAAUUUACAUAACUCACAUAACUUACAUAACUUAAUAACUUAUAUAUAUCAUAUCAUAACUUACAUAACUCAGAGAACUUACAUAAGUUACAUAACUUAAUUAUACUUAUAAAUAACCAUGAUUACCCGUGUAAUUUAUUGUCAACUUUAGACUUCAAUAACAACGAAAUGGACUGGUCUUGGAUGAAUUUGUCAAGGGUAAGCAACGACUAUCGAAAUGGAGUACAAAUUUUCCUAAAUUUUGUAUUCCAAAAUACAAGCCAAGAGAAUAUGAUUCUUUGCCCGUGUAAGAAGUGUGGCAACAUCAAUUGGCAUUUUCGUGAAGUUGUCUAUGAGCAUCUAAUUGCCGAUGGGUUUCUUCGGGGGUAUAAAGAAUGGAUUUUCCAUGGAGAAUGCACACCUAGUACUUCCUCUUCAACGAUUAAUCUGGCUCAUCCUCAUAGUGCUUACCAUCGGUCUGUCAGAGAAGAUAACAUGGAAGGUCUGUUUCGAGAUGCAUUUACUAUGCGCAAUCAUGGUUUGCAAUCAUUUUCACCCGACUUUGUUGUAUCCGAUGAUUGUAAUAUCGGUAGAAAUGCUUUUACCCAAACGGAAGAAGUAUACCUAAUGAAUAGCCAAAUGGAGAUGCGGAAAAGUUCUACACGCUGCUUAAUGAAAUGAAUGAAGAACUUUAUGAGGGAUCAAAAUUUUCAAAAAUGUCCUUCUGUAUUUGUCUUUUUCAGUUAAAGUGUUUGGGAGGGUGGACUGGAAACUCUUUGACAAUGCUGUUAAAGUUUUUGAGAGAGAUGUUUCUGUUUGCAAAAACCUCUCAUUCAUGCAAAGAUAUGAAGAAACUGAUAAAAGAUUUAGGCCUUGGGUACAACAAAAUUCAUAGUUGCUCAAAUAACUGCAUGUUGUAUUGGGGUGAUCGGAAAAACCAACAGUGUUGUCAUGUAUGCGGCCAAUCCCAUUGGAUAAAUAGAAACAAAAAAGAUGGGAAUGACGAUGAAAAUGAUGUACAGUAAAGAAAGAAGCUAAUUAAGAUUUUACGAUAUUUUCCGCUACUACUAAGGCUUCAAAGGCUUUUCACGUCGUCGAAGAUAGCCGAGUCUAUGACGUGGCACCAUGAUGGACGAACCAAUGAUGGAUUAUUAAGGAAUCCGGUGGAUUCUUUAGCUUGGAAAUCAUUUGACAGUAAAUUUCCAAGCUUUUCAAGCGAUCCUAGGAGUGUGAGGCUUGGGCUAGCAUCUGAUGGAUUUAAUCCUUACAAAAUCAUGAGCACUGCGUACAGUACUUGGCCUGUAGUGCUUGUUCCUUACAAUUUGCCUCCAUGGAUUUGUAUGAAGCAAUCUUCCUUUUUCUUAUCUAUGAUUAUCCCUGGAAAGAAAGGUCCCGGAAAUGAUAUUGACAUUUAUUUGCAGCCACUUAUUGAAGAGUUAAAAUAAUUAUGGGCUGGUGUUGAGACAUAUGAUGUACUGAGAAAGGAGAACUUUAAUUUACGUGCAGCUUUGAUGUGGACUAUUAAUGACUUCUUAGCUUAUGCCAAUUUAUCUGAUUGGAGUACCAAGGGACGUUAUGCUUGUCCUUGUUGUGCUGCGCAAACAUGUUCGCAAUGGUUAUAUAAUGGGAAGAAGUACUCUUACAUAGGACAUUGUCGGUGGUUACCGGGAAAUCAUAGAUUUAGAUUUUAGAGUACUCUGUUUGACGGUACUGAAAAGUUCAGAGAAGCUCCUUCGCAGACCGAUGGAUCUGAAAUCUUGUUCAUGUUGAAAGAUAUGAAUUUCAGUUAUGGGAAGAUGAAUCAACCACCCAACACGCAAAGAAAUAGAAGAUCAAGAGAUGAAUCUGAUGAUGAAGAGGAUGAAGAGGAUGAUCCUAAUGAGGCGGACUUGUGGAAAAAAAGAAGUAUUUUUUUGAGUUGCCUUAUUGGGAGCAUCACAUUUUACGACACAAUCUUGAUGUCAUGCACAUUAAGAAAAAUGUCUGCGAGAACAUCAUUGGGACAAUUUUGAAUGUCGAUGGAAAAUCGAAAGACAAUCUUCAGAGUCGACUUGAUUUAGUCCACAUGGGAAUUCGGCGUGAUCUUCAUCCCCAAGCACUUCCGAAUGGGAAAUAUCGGUUGUCGCCUUCUGUUUUUUCAAUGUCGAAGACGGAGAAAGAAGCGUUCUGCAUGGUGUUGAAGGAUAUAAAGGUCUCAGAUACGUAUGCAUUAAAUAUAUCUCGAUGUGUGAGUAUUAAAGAUCGAAGACUAUAUGCCUUAAAAUCACAUGACUAUCACAUCUUGAUGCAAGAUUUACUGCCAGUUGCUAUGCGGUGUUGUAUGUCGAAAAAGGUGACGUCUGGUAUAAUUGAACUAUCCAAUAUAAUGAAAGCCAUUUGUGGCAAAGUUUUGGAUGUUCAAGAACUUGAGACACUACAAGAUCGAGCCGCAUUGACUUUAUGCAAUUUGGAGAAGAUCUUCCCACCUUCUUUCUUCACUAUAAUGGUGCACUUGCUAAUCUAUCUCCCUCAUGAAACAAUACUUGGUGGACCCAUUUUCUAUCGAUGGAUGUAUCCCAUAGAAAUGUGUUAAUUUAUUUGUAAAUUAUUCAUUCAUUCACCUCUAUGCCUUUAGUUACAACUUUUGAUAAUGUUGUAUAUCGUAUUUAGGUUUCUAUCCAAAUUGAAGUCUUAUUGCCGCAAUAAGCGUUAUCCAGAAGACUCAAUUGCUGAAGGCUACUUGGCUGAGGAGUGUAUGACUUUCUGUUCUAGAUAUUUGGAAGAUGUUGAAACAAGAAUAAACAAACCAAGUAGAAAUGAUGGGCUCACUGAUCAUAACUUGGCCAAAACUUAUUUAUUUCAAAGUUAUAGAGAACUAAUCGGCAAAGUUGAAAUUUCAGAAUUAGAUGAUAGAUCGUGGCUACAAGUACAUCGAUAUGGUCUUUUUCACCAUGAUUCAAUGGAACCAUUACGCAAGUAAGUUCUAGAAUUUGAUAAAUAUUCAUCAAUUACAAUUUGUUUAUCUUCUAACAAAGUAAACAUCUUUUUAACAUAGUGAGUACAAACAAAUCUUGAGAUCUCAUCCACGCUCCCGAAGAUUACAACAUCGAGAGAUUAAUAAGUUAUUCACAAAAUCUUUUCAUGAAUGGUUAAGCCAAACAGUAUGCAAUUGAAGCUUUCAUUGACAAAUAAUAAUAUUUUCUCAUAACAUUUAUAAUUACUCAAUUUACCUUCGAUUCAAUAGGUUUGGAGUGGGAAUGACGUAAAUGACGAAGUUAAAUGGCUUUCUCAAGGUCCGAAUAGAGUAGUAAAAAGAUAUAGUGCCUUCCUCAUCAAUGGAUUCCGAUUUCAAGCAAAAUAUCGGGAGAGAUUGAGGAGAACUCAAAAUUGUGGAAUAGUUGUUAAUUCUUCUAUUACAAGUUAUGCUAGUGCAAGGGACAGUAAUCCUGUUGAGGGAAAUGUGGAGUAUUACGGACUUCUUACUGACAUUAUUGAGUUGGAUUACUAUGGCAAAUGGAAAGUUGUCUUAUUUCGAUGUGAUUGGGCUAACGUUAAUACUGCUCGUGGAAUUAAAUAAGAUCAAUUUGGUUUUACAAUGGUGAAUUUCUCUCGAUUGAUUCACAUUGGACAACAAUUGAUAAAUGAGUUGUAUGUAUUUUCUUCUUAAGUGAAACAAGUUUUUUACUCAAAAGAUCCAACUGAUAAGGGUUGGUACGUUGUACUCCGUAACAUCCCUAGAGACUUGUUUGACAUGGGCAAUGGAAGUAGAGAUGACAUCGACGAUAGAUCAGAAACUUUACCUUUUUCAGAACAAAACUUAAAUGAAAAUAUCCCUAGUACUAGUACACAAUUUCAAUGGGUUCGUCAAGAUGUUGAUGAAGAUAUUUACGAAUUAUGAUGUAGUAAGAUUUUACGAUUUUUUAAUUAUAUGUAAGAUUAUAAUUUAAAUAUUGGUCUUAUUAAAUAUUUCAACUAUUUUAUAUGUGUUGUUAUUGUUCUAAUUAGUUACUAAAAUUUCAACUAUUUUAUGUGUAUUGCAGAUAAAAUGCCUAGAAGAAGAUUGUGAGAUCUAAGUAUUGUUCAAAAUACUCCAAACUCGGAAGAAACAAAUAGUGAACAACUGACUGCUAUUGGAUCUUCGAAUGUUCCGAAUACACCUAACGAACUUGCAGAAUUUCAAAGUAUGUUUAAAUUUAAUUUACAUGCGUAAUGACUUUUAUUAUUGAUUUCUUUUUCAAAUUCUUAUAUUAUAAUAUAUCAUUUUUCAGCUGAAAGUGUGGGACGCGCAGUGGUCGAAGACAUACACUACUUAAAGAUUUAUACGAGUUAGAUCCUGUCGAGCGUGUCAAAGUAUGUAGAAACAGUUUUGGUCAGCCUGUUGGAUCAGAAGCUCGGCUUUUAGCAGAUAUUUGGGCAUUAUAGCACGAAAUGCCAAUAUGUUGCCUAUCAACUACGAGUCAUGGCAUCAAAUGUCAAUAUUAAGGUAACAAAACCUUAAUGUAAUUUAUAAUACUUUGGUUUAAGUUUCAUUUAUAUUACUUUCUAAACUUGUGUUUUUUGUAGGCGAUGUUUGCUUUAGAGGUCUCGGAUAAUUAUGUCAAGAAGGCAUUGGGAAAAAGGUGGAGAGACCAUAAAAUUACUUUAAAGAAAGAAAAUUUUUAAGACAAAAACAACCCUCGAAGAGAAAUUGCGAAAUGUCCCGCUGGGAAUGUUGAGGUACCAAUGGAAAGAUGCGGUUAGAUUUUGGAAUUCAAAGAAAUGAGAGGUAUUACGUACUUCCAAACUCUUAUAACUAUUUCGGUUUAUAGUAUUUACUAUAUACGUAAUAAUAAUUUCAUAAUGUGGGAUCGUGAACGAGUUGGAACAAGCAGCAGGCAAAAACAGAAAUUCACUCACAUAGCUGGGUCGAAAAGUUUUGUUUGUGUAGUUGAGGCCGAGAUUUUUUGAAUUUAUAAAUAGUGUAAAAUAUUUAUUACUUUCCAUUAAAUAAUAUUUUUACUACUAUAUUGUAGGAACUGUCGUCUGGUCAAAAAGUUAGACGCCUUCAACUUUUUGACAUUACAUAUGGGAAGAAAAAUGGAUCUCCUAUGACUUCUGAAGCUGCAGAAAUUAUGGUAUGUUUAGUUAAUAAAAUUUUAAUUAUUUUAAAUAUUUAUAGUGUUUAAUUAUAAUGGUUUAAUUCAUCGUUUGUAAUGCAAAUAAUGUUAAGUUAUGUUGCAUUUGUUUUUAUUAUAUAUUUCGUUUCUAACUCUUUGAUUAAUUUAUUAGAAGAAACUAAAGGAUAAAAAGGCAGAGUAUGAAGCGAUUACUUCGAGUGAUAGUUUUGUUAAUGCUCACGAAAUUGAUAAUCGGGUUAUUACUGAAGUUUUGGGUCCUGAAGGGUAUGGACAGGUUCGAUUUCAAGGAUCUUUUGUUAAUCCAACCCAAUAUUUUGGAUCCAGCUCGCAGCAAUACAUGCUUUCGGGGAGUCAAGCUCAAGUUGAAAUUCAGAGGUUAAGAGACCAGAUGACUCAGAUGCAAGCGAACACAGUUGAGCUAAUUACUCAACUUAAAGCGAAUGCAGCAUCGAGAGAAGCUGAGGUUCAAAGAAAAAAUGAAGAACUCAAGCUACAACUUAAAGAAGAGGUAGCAGCGAGGGAAGCAGAGCAGAGCAGAAAGUACGACGCACUCUAACUACAGCUUCAGAAUAUGAUGAAGAUGUUUCAGCAGUCGCAAAAUCUGCCAUCUUAGACUAUUGUAUGAAUAUUUUUAACAUUUUAGCUUUUAACAUUAUUGUAUUAUACUUCAUUUAUCAAUUUAUAUCAUAUAUCAUUCGUUGAAUUUGAAGUAUCAUUUAGGUUGCUGUUUUUGGUUGGUUUCUAUGUUACAGGAAGGGUUGCAUAUGGAUGAAAAUUGGAUGUUAGAAAUCUGCCAAAAUUAGUGGCGUUUUCAAUAAAAGCGCCGCUAAAGAAUAUGACAUUUAGCGUCGUUUUCUAUAAAAGCGCCGCUAAAGAACAUGACCUUUAGCGGCGUUUCUUAUAAAAGCCCCGCUAAAGAAUAUGACAUUUAGCGGCGUUUGCUAUAAAGGCGCCGCUAAAGAACAUGACCUUUAGCGGCGUUUGCUAUAAAAGCGGCGAUAAAGAACAUGACCUUUAGUGGCGCUUAUCUUUAAACGCCGUUAGAGGUUAUGAUCUUUAGUGGUGUUUGUGGUAAAAACGCCGCUAAAUAUCAUGUUCUUUAGCGGCAUUUAUGUGAGAAAAAAGUCACAAAAAAUAACGGCAUGGUCUAUAGCGGCAUUUUUUGCGGCUCUUGUGAAAGUGCCGCAAAUACUUUUAGCGGCGCUUAUAGGCCUAAAAAAUGCCGCUGAAAGCCUAUUUUGCUGUAUUGUUAGUUUGUUAAGUUUACUCUGGAUUAUACCAAUUUUUAAUUUAUUUAUACUUAUAAUUGUUUGAUUCUAUUUUAUGAUUACUCGAAUAAUUUUUAUUGUAAUAAUUUAAUAUUUAUAAUCACUCAAACAUAUAUUUAUAUUGUAGUUUAAAUACUUAAAAAAAUUUUCAAAUCAAAAUUUGCUACCCUCUUCCUUUUCCCACACAGAUAGGUAAUUCCUUUUCUAUUUUCUUUUUCUUUUUAUUAUAUUAAUACAUUCUAAAUAAACUAAAUAUUUUAUAUAUAUAUAAUACAAGCUCAAUUCAACAACUUAUAUUUACUGGUUUAGAUAAUAUAGUUGAUAAGUUUUAACCAAAACACCCAACUGAGAAAUUUUUGUCAAAAUAUGCCUUAAAUUUUCACAAAAAAUAAAUCAAAUAACGGGAGGAUGAAAAUGAAUUUAGGUUAGAAUAAAUUUAAAUAUAACCAACUCAUGAUUUAAGUAUUGUUGUAGGAAUUAGAUCGGAUCAACUGAUUGGUAUAUUGAUCCAAACAAAAAAAUUCAAUCUAUUUUUGAGCAAACACUUAGAAUCAAUUGAACUGGGGCAGAAAUCAAUUGUAUCGAUUUUAUAAUUUUUAAAGAAUUUUUUUUAUAUUUUUAUAAUUUUAUGACUUAAUAAUUUAUUUAAUUAAAACCAAAUCGACGAUGAAACCAAAAAUCGAUGUUGGUGUGGUUUUUAAAAUCAUAGAUUUAAGUACUUAUGACAUCAUGUUCUCAAAAACUCAAACCUUUAUCAACAUAUAGAAUCGAAUCGAAUAGCGUUUUCAUCUCCCAAGUUUCUAUACAUAAACUAUGAACACUGAAUUAAACAAUACAAAAAUGGUAUUCUUCUUCCACUGACAUUUGAUAUCGGCUUCAGAAAAGGCAAAAGACAAGAAUAAAGAGAUAAAACAAAAGAUUAAAUCAAUCCUAUAUCCUUGACUGACAUAAUUUACCUUAAAAACUCUAUAUUUUAACCAAUCCCACCUAUAUGAUUUUUCUGUUUUCCUAUACAUAAAUUAAAGCUUACUUGGAACCAAGUCAUUGUAUUGUAUUUCACGUAAUUGUUUGAAGCAGAUCCUCAUCUCCUCCAUCUGCAUUGAAGGAAUAGAUGUCGACCGGGGCCAUCGUGCAACCCAUGGCGUUCUGCUUGGUUCUUUUAUUACGGGAGGAGCCUCGGUGUUUGUCUAGAUAGAUUACAAUCACGGUGAUAUCGUCGUGAAAAUGGCGCCUUAUCCCCUUUUCGAUUUUCUUGAUGUCACUGUAUCUCAUCUCCCUUUUCUUUGCAACUUCUUGAAGUGCAGCUCUUACCAAUCUCUUGGCAAUACCCUGCAAGCAUUCAAGCAAACAAAUAUCAAUACCGAAAUGCGUUGCAUUUCCAUACGUUUCAUUAGGUUAAUGGAAGAACACGAAUACUCACGGCUCUCGGGUUUUUGAAAACGAUGUUUACAGCAGCUUCAUCACUCAACUGCUCCCAUAGGCCGUCUGAUGCAAAGAUGAGGAAUUGAUCCUGGGGCUUCAGCUUUCUAAUAAGGAUCGAGGGUUCUGCUGUAAUAACCGGCCUUUUAAGAGGAACGGGGUUUCCGAACUGCUGGAAGAUCGGAUCUCUAUAAAACUCAGGUUUCUUCAGGUAAACAUCACCUAUAGAUCUUGACACCUGAAAUAAGACGAACAAAAAUGGCUCAGACCAGCAUGACCACUCACAUGCUCAAAGAUCAUGUAUUAAUCAAUCAUCUCCAGUUCUACAAUCCAAUGUACGAUAAAAGCUAAUGCAUCUUAUUCUCUCGAUACUGAACGGAUCGAAGUAUAAAGCUCAACUUGCCUACUAAAGUAAAGGGGAACAACAUCACAAAAAGAGAAGAAAAACAUAAAAACGAGAGAGCAAUGAUUCCCUGCAGUUACAUAAGCCUAGCUUUAUGCUUCAGGGGCCUGCAUUUGUCCAUCUCAUGCAUACAACGCAUACUAUAUGGAAAAUAGCAGCAUGAAACAGUACUGGAAAUCAGACCAAAAUAUUCUUGGAAAAGUCGAAAAACUCAGAAUUAUAACCAUUUUUUAGAAUGAACUUUCAUUCUAAUGCACAAUGUAUACAUCCAUAAUUAUAUUAUACCUCUCCAUCAAGCAAAAAGAAACAAAUGGGUUGCAAGCAAUGCCUACGAAGAGGAAGUUAAUUGGCAACUAUUUCUAGAAUCAACACAUUGAUCAUUCCUCAAGCAGACUAGUUUUGAACUAAACGAUUAUAAAUCAACUUGUCAAUAAAAUUGUACCUGGAUUAUGCCCUUAAUCCUCCAAACUCCGUGGGUGUAAACCACUAUAUGUGAGUCAUCUGGAUGAAGUUCCUCGACCUCCUUUCGAACUUCCUCAACUCCAACAUUAUGAUCAGUUGACAACCUCUCUGCCACUACUGUGUUUUCCUUAUCCCCCGAAGCUUUCCUGCCAAGAACAGCUCUCGAGUCACCGAGAUUUGCCACGUAUAACACAUCAUUCGAAAUUGCACCAACUAGACAGCAUGAUCCAACCGAAGCAAUUUGAGGCCUCACAGGCAAUGAUCGCUUCACCAAACGCAAAAACUCCUCUUCAGUGGCAUUGAAUGCCUUCUUUAUCACAUCUGCAGAUAAUCCCCCUUGUUCUGUAGCAAAUUCUACAAUGAAUAAAGAAAAAAAAAUUAAGGGUCUCCAUCAAUCUUUUUUAGAAUCCAAGUGCAUGCUUAUCACUGAAAAGGAUGCAAAACAAAGAAAAAUAAAUGACCUGAAAAAUGCCAAAACUUGAACUACACUUACUAAUUAUUCUGAAAAAUUCAAGUCCAAACAACCCCAAGUAGAUACAAAUUUAGACAAAUAGUUCAUAUUCUCUUUUCCCAUCAAAACAGACAUAGUACUACAUGACUAUGGAGCGGGGCAAGAUAGAUAUUGUCAAAUUCAUUACUGUUCCAUUGUUGGCAUGAUCUGCCUCGACCCCACUCUGCUUCGCCGUAAAUGUUAAAACUUGAAUAUCAUUACUUUUAAUAUGCAUAAUCUAUCAAUACCUCACCUAAUAUAUACAUUUUUACUCGUUUUAAAAGCUAAAUAAAUAAGAAUAAGGCAAAUAUCAAAAUUAAGUGCCCCAUAGGUCCCUCUUUUACUGUUAAAAAUUAGAAAAAGAAAGUCUAUUUGGAGUCAUCAGUUCGAAAUCUAUCAAACUAAAUACAUAUUUGAUGAUUCCAUAGACAGCUUAUGAUUUUCCUGACAAGGUCGUAUCCAUAUACAUACAUGAUCACAUGUUCAUUCAUGUCAUACAUACAUACAUACAUACAUACAUACAUACAUACAUACAUACAUACAUACAGAAUAGAAUGGGAAAAAAGGAAUGUUGCAAUAAAGAGGGAAAAAGGGAAUUACUGUGGAGAAAAGGGAAGAGAUGUUUGUUAACAAAACGGGAAGCUUCGGGACCGCCAUGACCAUCGUAGACGCCAACGUAGGUAGCAAAAGGAGAGGCCAAGACUUGGCUUUGAUCUUCGAGGCAGUUGUUAGCCUGCACGACGGCGAUGGAGAAAUCACCGGAAGCGUGGGGUUUAAGGUCAGCGUGCCACAUGAGAGCAUCCCCACCAGCUCUAACGCCAAGACAACGUUCGAGCGGCCUGGAAAGGGAACGUAACAUCAUCAUCAUCGUGUUUAAAAAAUAAUAAUAAUCCCUUUAUAGGGAAUUUGAUUAAAUGAAAACCUCUUCGAUGGUUUCAAUGGGGGGUUUCACUUUGGGGGAAGAGGAAAAUGGGAAGAUAUUAAGAGGGAAAGAGAGAGUAGAAAGUGGGGUAAAGUGAAUGGAAAAGAAAUGCCGCGUAAAGAGAGGAAGAUGAUGAUGACCAACGACCCCCGAUACUUGCUGUAAUUACUUCCCACUCUACGCGUUAACUAAUACCCUUUUUCUUCUUUUUUGACUUUUAAACCCAAAUCCUUUUUUUAUUUUUAAUUUAUUGAACGGAGAAGGUUAGGUCUAAUUUAAUAUUUCAAUUUUUAAAGAAUCGGAUCGGUGGUUGAAUUAUUCUCGAUUUAAUCUGUUAAUUUAGUUUAACUUAGAUUUGUUCAGGUGGUUCGAUUUGAAGAUUUGUUCGAAAGAGGAGAGAAUUUGGAUAAAAAUAUAAGCUUAAAAAAUAAAUUUUAAUAAAAAAAAUAAGGUACAUUUUUUAAAUGGGUCUCAAUAGAUCCAAACAAGAUAUACAAAUUUCUAAUAGAUCAGAUAAAAUCGCAAAGCAAAUAAUCCCAAGAUUCAAUUAUUCAUUAACUACCCGUAUAUCUUAAGAUUAAGAAUUAAAUAUUUUUUUAGUAUUUUUUUUUUUUGCGAGGAGCUGGAUGAGAAGAAACUCUCAUGUCCAGUUCUGUAGUAGAGAUGGAAUUCAUAAACAACAACCAUCAACUAUAACCCCAAAAGAACUCGAUUUCGUAAACGAGUCUCAAUAUUUUUUUGUUCGGGCCCAACCUAACUUGGCUCGAAUUUACCAAAAAAAAUUGUUAUGCUUUGUCACUAUUUUGCUGUUAUUUCGCUAUUAUAUUGUUACUAUUUUAUUAUUUUUGUUUAGAUAUUAUAUAACUAUUUUUUUAUUAUUGAUUUUGUUACUAUUUUAAAGGCAUUUGCUUGCUAAGUUGCACGUAUCUUAGUGUUAGUUGAGUAUAAAUAUUUUUUAAAAUUUUAUUUUCAAUAUAAAUAUUUUUAAAAAUUUAUUUUCAAUUUAUUGGGAAACAUUUAUUUUAAUAUUUUUAGUCUAUUUAAUGUAUUAUAUUUUUUAGAUUUGUUUUUAUAUAAAAAUAAAAAUAUAAAAAAAUUAAUACAAGCAAGUCGGGUCAGGCAUGGGUUUUAGCGUUUUUAUCCAGGUCAAGCUUAAGUAAAAUUUUAGGCCAAUUUUUCGAGUCAGACUCAGGCCUAGAAAAUAGGCCUAAAAUUUUAUCUCGGUCCAGCUGACCCAUGGAUAGCUCUAGUUCAGCCCCUUUGUCUGAAUUGAUAUAUCAAUCGAUUUAUUGGUUCAACUAGUUCGAUUAGUUGAUUUGAUUUGAUUCAAAAACACUAAGGGUUAUUUCAAGUUUAACUUAAUUUGUAUUUGUGCCGUUAGUUUGAAUUGUUUUGAUUUUAAAUCAUUCAAAUUCGACACUUAAUUUUUUGAGUCAAAUCUUUUUGGGUCUAUUUCAAAUUAUAAUUUUAUAAAAAGAAAGUGAAUUGAAUAAUAUCAAUGUUAUUAAAUUGGGUCACAAUUAAUAGGCGUACUAGAAUCUAAUUACAAAUAUAUAUCCAUAAGACAAAACCAAAAAUAAAGGAUUAACAUCUGACAAAGGAUUGACAAUGCAUUGUCCACAAAGUUAUCCACAAAUUUAAUUAGACACAAAACAAGAUAAACACUUACUAAAUGUAUGUAUAUAUGAUUAAAAUAGAGGGGUAACGUGAAUUCCGUAAGUUAACCUAACGAUUAAGAUACUCAUCGUUUCAAGGGUGAUUUGGGAUUGAGUCGCGUUAAUCACACCCUUAAUAGGGAUUUGCCCUCUUCUAGAAAAUGGAGGACUAAAAGUUUGAAAUCUUAUUUAGUAUUUACAGCCAUGAUUAAUUCUCUUUAUGAUCUCCACCCAUACAAUAAAUGUGAAAGGGGUAGCAGUAUAAAUAACAUGUCUUUAUAGGGGGCCGCCAUUCAAGAAUAUCUUACUUCCUCUGAACCUGACAGUGAGGCAUGGAUAGCAACUUACCUAACACAUGUAUCAAAUUCAACACUAAAAUUAAACUCAUAUACCAAAUUGAAAUUUAAAAAGAAAAACUCAAAUACAAAAUUCGACAUUAAAAUCAAACGGAAGUACCGAAAAACAUUCAUAAACCUUUUCCUUUGUUUUUGCACCCGUCAAAAUUCCAAGACUUACAUAUCUCUAAUUAAGAGCAUCAUCAUUUACAAAAAUUAAAAAAUUAAUCCCUCUACUUUAACUUGUUAUAAUUUGACCCACGUAAGUUAUAACAAUCGAAAAGUUAAUCUAAUUAAGUAAUAUUGUUAAACCUUAUUAUUGGAUUGUUUAUUUGGAAACCAGUAAUUUAACAACUUAUAUGCAACAAAUUAACAAAACUCAUUUGUUCAAGUUCAUGUUUUGAAUAACACCUGGACUCACUUUCCAAUUUUCAUAAGCUACAAUGACUAAAUUUUGACAAAUUAAAGUAGAGGGACCAACUUCUCAAUUUUCAUAAAGUAAGGGAUGAAAAUCAUAAUUAGACCAUGUAUAUGUUCUAUCGCGUAAGUUGGGGAUUGUUUUAUAGUAUACUUCUACAGUAAGGACAGUCCCCACACGUUCUGAGCCAAGGAUCUAAGCAAGCAAAGUGAAACCUGUGCCCACACGGCAGCUGAGUAAGCACAUCUCCUUCUCCGAAGCUUUCAAGGCAUAUACUGCAAUCUCUUGAUUCCCUUGAUGUCUUUCUUUCAACAUUGACGUCUUGGCUGCCGAAAAUUUCCAGUGGCAAACGGUCCAGAGCUUCCUGAGUAAGUCCAGGAGGCUUCUUGUUUGUUUCUCGUAACAAUUCGAACCUUUCUGCUUCAGAGGUUAAUGGGGAACCCCUAGCUGCCAACCCUGUAGAGAGUUCACUUAUGAUCCUAAAAUCAUCGCCCGUUACAUGCUCCCGGUGGUAAGCAUUAGGUGGAGCUCUAUUGCUUCGCCUGAAGAAAACAACAGGAAGAAACCGUAAUGAGAAGGAAAAGAAAAGAUGUACAAAAUGUUUAAAUAGCGGUUAAUGCAAGACCUAACAUAUAUGUGUCCAUUAUUGAAUGCCACACCAAGUAAAAUUCAGGAUCGAGUGGUCCACAUGCUUCUCUCAAGCAGUAGAUGGUAGUUAGGAAACGAGUAACACUAAUUCGCUGUGUACAUGAAGUGGUAGCAAAAGUGGUCUGGCUAGUCAUAGUGGCUAAUGAUGUUACUACUUAGAACCUAUGUUACUCAGACUCGGGCAUGGGUUUCAGAUAUGGAUAUGUAUCCAAUACAGGUAUGAUUACUUUUUCUAAGUUUUUCCAUAUAUUUAGAAGAUCCUUGGAGGUCAUAUCCUCGUAUUUGUGUGUCGGACACGAGUGAAAUGAAGAGUCCAAGCAACAUAGCUUAGAACCACUAAUAUUACCAUAGAAUAGGAAGCACCAGCAGUGGGACUGGACCAUAUUGAUAGUUAGCAAUGCGAGAACAACAGGCACUAAUGGGCAGAAAGCACCAAUAACAGCAGUGGGCCUGGAAAUUAAGGUACUACUGGUAGGUAAGGAGUGACGAAAGCAAUAUCAGCUUGAAUGUAUUAGCAGAAAUGGGACAGAAAUUUCAAGCAUAAAAACAUAAAUUCAAUCUAUUCAAGAAUAUAUAAAUAUAUAGAGAGAGAGACUAAAUUCAACUUAAACGAUGAGACUAAAUUCAACUUAAACAUUUUCAAGGAAAAAAGAAAAAGCCUGCCAAAACAUGAUUAUGUUAGGCAAUUCCAUAGAAGAAAGUUCAAAUUCACUAGUGACAACCCACCCGACUGACCAGCUGAAAAGUCCAUGGUAAGUUAGAAAAUAGUUUGGACUGAGUGAAAUUAGUCUCAACAUUAACUGACUACAAUCCCUAACAGCUCUAUCAUAUGAUACAGUAUCUCUAUUCUUACGGCUAAACCAAGUCAGACUCCUAGUGCCCCUAAUACAAUACUACAUAUUUAUCAUUUGGAUUCACUAAUAAUAAGGUAGCACAAUGAACUGCAAGGCACUGAAUCUUCCUACAGGUUACGAUGCAAAUUGCUCAUAUGAUAGACACUUCUUUUGAUCAUAUUGCACCCUCAACAGAUCCACAAAAUCAAAGUUCAAGAGCAAAAUCAUUCUGAAUUUAGGUAAAACUUUCACAGACACAGAGUUCCACAUGAUUUGUCUAUCCUAUCAUCAAACUUCAGAAAUAAGUAAUAGAGAAGAGAUGUGCUGUGCUGUCUUUAAAAAAUGAAAUUUGUGACAGACCAAGAAUAGUGGGAUAAAUUUGGUCCAACUAGAGUAGCAAAACAAAUUGAGUGCCACAGGCAAGUUCACCAUCAAUGAUAAAAGUGGCUUCCAAUUGGUGUCAAAGAUCAUGCAGAUAAGAAAGAACAUGAUUCAAUAGCUAUUAUAUUUACUUGUUCUUGCAGUUUGACUAGUAAUAAUGCUGUACAUAAUACAUGGACAAGAAAUGCAAACACUAAGAGUGGCAAAUUUGCAGAGAGCACUAGGUAACCUGUUUGCAGAAACAGACACGCCUCUUAGUCUUUCAACAAGCCUUGCUCUUGCAAGCAGCACAGCUCCGGGAAGCCUUUCAUUUGCUCUCAAACUUUGCCUGCUUGAACUGCUAACACCAUCUGCAUUUAAUCCAUAGCUCGAACUGAGCUCGCCAGUACCUUCAUCAAACCCUUCUCUAGCAAGCCUCUCACUUGAUCUCAAACUUUGCCUUCUUGCAUUGCUUACACUGACUGCAUUUAACCCAUUGCUCGAUACAAGCUCGCUGGUACCUUCAUCAAACCGCACUGAUGAACGCUCCUGAAAAAGUAAUAUCCAAAUAUAAGCGAUUCAGGCGAGGAGAAAUAAAUUACGUAGACGAGGUAAUAAUAUCAAACUUCCUUGUUUAUUCUUGUAUAUGUGGCAAAAACUUACUGCAAGUGAGCUUAGGCUUUGCUUGGUACCAAAGACGGAAACAUGGAAAAUUUGUUCAUCAAAUGUUAAGAUUCAUAUCCACCUUAUUACUUUGUAACUUAACCAUCAGAUAAACAAUUUUCCAAUUCACUCCUUUCCAUCCUUCAUAACAAGCAGAGCCUUAGGGUUUAGAAAAUUGUCAAGAAAAUACCUAUUCUUCAGUAAUUUCACUGAUAAAUUUAGCUUAAAACUACUAAUUUUCGGAGCAAAGUUCAAUAUUGGAGCAUAAAACAGACAACGAAUAAAGUACCAAUAAAUUGGUUGAAAAUCCAAUUUUUAAAUUAAAAAUAAAUAAAUAAAAGUGCGGUUUAUUUUCCCUUCCAAAAAUAAUACUUAAUCCACCCCCAUUUUUCCUUUAAUUUCUCUUUUUUUUCUCAGCAAUAAAAUAAAAACAAAUACCUAACAAGAAAUAAAUAAUUUGAAAAAAAAAGGUAAAAGAGAAAUUGAGCGUACAGAGAGCGAGGAAGCACGGGAGCUGAAGUGGCGCACGUGGGGAGACCGGCGGAAGGAAUCACCGCCGUCCAAAUCAUGCCUCUGAUUGUGAUGACUGAGAUGAUUCCGGCGAUGGUAAUUCCGUUCAAUUGAGGACCCAAUCCCUAAAUCCGGAUCGGGUCGACCCACUCUUGACCUUCGUGUGUAGAAUAACUCCGAAGCGCUUGUCAUCCAACUAAAACCCCCAAAUGGUGUUUUGAUCUGAUCUUACCAAUUAAAAUUUAUUUUUAAUUUCUCCAAAAAAACAAUUAAAUAAACAUGAAAAUUGUAAUUUGGAUUAAGAAAUAAAGGAGAGAUGUUGAUGAGCCCUACGAAGAAACGCGGGAGAAAUUCCUGCGAAUGAAAAUCGAUAGCCUUAGCUUCAAAGAAAAUGAAUGGAAAGGGAUGUGUGUUUUUUAACCCUAAAUGGUUUAAUUCCGGUUUUAGUCCCCCUCCUAUGCUAAAAUUUAAAAUUUAAUCUAUAUAUUUUAAUUUUAUAUAAUUUCAUCCUUGAUUUUAAGAAAUAAUAUUUGAUACACCGCUAAUACAUUAUCAUCGAACAAUGACAUGAUACUUCAGGAAAAACAAAAUUAGUGAAAGACUUAUCAAUAAAUAUUAACAAUUUUAUUUAGUGUUUUGAUUUUUAAAUUUCACAUUUCGAAUUUUAGAUAUAUUUAAAUAAAAUUAUUAAUAUUUAUUUAUAAGUCAUUCAUCAUUUUUUAUUUCAUUAGCAUUGAAAUGUCGUGGUUGACGAAACUUAUACAUCAACGAUAUAUCAAAUAUUUAUUUUUAUUUUUAUUAAUUUCUAUCAUUAAAACGAUGAUGUGAAAUCUUUUAUUGAAAAUUUUGUUAUGGUCAAGGUAGCCAUAAUAUAUGUUUUUUUAAUACAAAUUCUCGAUAACAAUUAGUAAUAUUAAGAAUAUAAAAAAAGUAAAUCAUGUUAAAUUAAUCGGUUUAAGGGUAUAAAAGGUUCUCAAAUUUAAAAAAAAACAAUUAAGUCUCUGUUUUUUCACUCGAGUAUUUUAACUUUCAAAAAUGCAUAAAAAGACUCUCAAACUUUUUCAAAAAAAGCAAUUAAGCCCAUACUUUUUUUUACGCUCAAUUGGGCACUUGAACUUUCAAAAUACAUAAAAAAAAAAUGCCUUCAAACUUUUUCAAAGAAGCAAUUAAGCCCAUGCUCUCUCUUUUUUUUUUUUUUGCACUCAAUUGGUUGGGUAAUUGAAUUGUCAAAAUGCAUAAAAAAAUAACCUUUGAUCGUUAACUUUAAUAUUUGACCGUUAAAAUUAACUGUCUCUAAUUUUUUUCCGUUAAAGUCAUCCUUUGUCACAACCACGACAUGACAUGUGGAAAAACAAUUAUAAAAAAUAAAAGUUAUAAAAAAAUAUUAAAUUUUAAUAAAAAUAUAAAGUUUAUUAAAAAUUGUAAAAUUUUAUAAAAAUAAUAAAUAAUUAUAAAAUGUAUCAAAAAGGCCAUUUAACCAUCAAUUUUAACCGUUGACUGUUAAAGUUAACAAUCCCUAUUUUUUUUCUAAUUAAAGUCAUCACGUAUCACAACAUAGUGUAACAUGUGGUAAAAAAUGAUAAAAAAAUAAAGAUCAAUUAAAGUUAUAGAAAAAUUAUAAAAUGCUUCUUUAAAUAUUAUAAAAUGCUUCUUUUGAUACGAUAAUUUUUAUAUUUUUUAAUGAAUUUUUAUUUCUUUACAUUUUUUAUAAUUUUCUUACAAUUUUAUAAAAUUUUACCAUUUUUAUAAUUGUUUUUUAUUUUUAUAAUUUGUUAAUAAUUUUUAAUAUUUUUAUAUUUUUAUUAAAAAUUAAUAAUGUUUAUAACUUUUAUUGAUUUUUGUUUUUUAUCAUUGUUUUGCCACAUGUCACGCCAUGUUGUGCCACGGGAUGACUUUAACUGAAAAAAUUAGGGUCAGUUAACUUUAACGGUUUGACUAUUAAAGGUAACGAUCAAAUGGUAUUUUUUUUAUGCAUUUUAACAAUUCAAGUACCCAAUUGAGUAUAAAAAAAAGGUUUAAUUGCUUUUUUCUGAAAAGUUUGAGGGCUUUUUUGAUGUAUUUUGAAAGUUUAAAUACUCAAUUGAAUGCAAAAAAAAGCAGGGGUUUAAUUGCUUUUUUUUUAAGUUUGAGAGUUUUUUUGAUGCAUUUUGACAAUUCAAAUACCUAAUUGAGUGCAAAAAAAAAAGAGAGCAGGGGUUAAUUAAUUUUCUUGAAAAAGCUCGAAGACUUUUUACACCCUUAAGCCAUUAAUCAACCGACUGAGUGAUUGAAAUUUGAUGAUUUGGGAAAAUAUCCGGUGAACAUCAAUUAGAGAAAUUAAAUCUGAAUUUCAAUAUAUUAGAGGGACUAAACCCAGAAAUUUACCGUGAAAAAAAAAAGGUAUAUUUUUAUGUGUUAGUUGAAAGAGUAGCAUUUAGAUGUAACCACGCGUUAAACAAAGUGUUCCAUUACAUCAACGAUAGAAUUUCUUUUCCUUCAACAAGAUUUUUUUGCGUUGACUGUUGACCAUGGAAAAACGAUAAAUCAAAUUAUUUAUUGAAAGUGAUAUAUAUUCCUUCCAAGAGAAUUCCUUUCUUACUAUCGAGAGUUUGAUUUUCACCGUGGGUAUCGAGAGUUUUAUCUCUUAAUUAACCUACAGAAUGGAAUAAAUUUAAUUAUUGGGUUUACUCUGAUAGAUACCUUGAGAAAUAAAAUAAAAAAUCGAUAUUAAAUGAAAUAGACAUAAUAAAUUUCUAAGCUUUGGUGAAUAUAAAUAGAAAACUAAAUGAAUUUUGGUUUAGGUAAAUUUUGGAUUCAGAUUAAAUUUAAAUUUUGGUUAAUUCUUAUUCAAGUCAAUUAAGUUUAAUUGUAAUUUCAGGUUAUAAUCACUUUGAGUUUAAGACAUUUUAAGUUAUUUAUUGGGGUCAUGUCUAGUUAUUUAUUUGAAUUGUUUCAAGUUUGGAUUAAUUUGAGUCAAUUUCAUAUUUAGGUUAGAUAAGUCAAUUUUCAAGAUAUGAACUAGAGUUGUCUAUGAGCCAGGUCAUCUGGUCUGGCCUGAAGGCCCAUCCGAAAAAUGGAAGGAUUUUAACAAAAAAAUAUAUGUCAAAAAAUGAGCUUGGACAAAAAAUAAGGCUCGUUUAGAAAAUGGGUCGGACCUCGAGUAACGUUUUUUUUUACCCUGGCUUUACCCAGAUUUGCAAUUAAAAAAUUUGUUUUUUUGCUAAAAUUUCACUAUUAUGUUGUUUCAAUUUGUUGGGAAACAUUCAUUUUAAUAUUUUUAGCGUAUUAUAUUUUUAAAAUUUUUUAUAUAAAAAAUUAAUACGGCCAGGCCAUGCCCGGGUUUUAGCAUUUUUAUCUAGGUCGGGCCUGAGCAAAAUUUUAAGUUCAUUUUUUGGGCCAAUUUGAGCCCAAAAAUUUAUCAGAACCCGACCUAACUCGAUCCAUGGACAACUUUAUAAAUAACUAUUUAUAUAUAUAAAUAUAAAUAUAUAAAUUGUCCAUGAGCUAUUUACUAUUUAGAGUAUUUAAAUAUGUCGAUUGAGAUUUAAGUUCUUUUUAUUCUGAGAGGUAGAAUAGCAUAAUUCAGCUAACGUAUAAUGAUCAUAUACCUCUAAUGCAUUAUAUGUCUCAUUCUUCUAUCAUUUUAGGGAGUUGAUGAUUAUUCAUAGCUAUUAUAUUGAUAUCAAAAAAGAGUUCGACCCAAUAACCAAAUACUUUUGCCAGAUUGAUUUUGGAUUAGAUUAAUAUGUUUUUGGUCAAUUUGAAUUUUAAAAAAUUUCAAAUUAUUUCAAUUUCGAUUAGUUUUAACUUUGGAUCAAUUCGUAUUCAAUUCUAUUUUAGGCUCAGAAUUAAAUGAAUCGAGGUAUUAAAUUUAAUGAUUUGUACAUACAUUUUGUGUAAAUCAUUUAAAUGUAUAGUUUAUUAUUAACAAAGUAAAAUUUUAUUUAAAAUAUUUUAAAUACCACUCUAACACAAUUACAUAAUUCAUAGAUUAUAGAUUACACUAGCAUUGAUAGUUGCAGCUUCUAAUUCCAAAAUAUUUUAUUCAAAUUUCAUAAAAAAACCCCUUCCCCUGUCUCCAUGACUAAUUUUGUUUGAUCAUCACAUAUUUGCAUGGGAAUAGUGUUCAUCAUGAACCGAAGACUCCGGUUUAUCAACACCGUCGACGCUUCGAACCCAGUAACUUGAACUGAAAGAAGCCGCCCGGUCCGGAACGUCAUCCAUCACCCAUUCAUGGCCUUUGGGGAAAUAUAUCCCACUCUUUGGAUGUGGAACCCAACUCGAUGAACCUUUUAUAUCGUUGUUACUCUUGCACUUCUUAUUGAUCUCUCGAUCUGCGCCUGCAAUUUUGCUCAAUGGUCGCUCAACGCGUUUUGCUUCCCUACACCCGAAUAAAGUUUCCAAAAGUCAAAUAUGUUUAUUAAGUUCAUAAUGAUUUGCUUCUAAAAUUUGUAUUCUUGUAUGGUUUUUUUGGUAAAAAAUUUAAUUUUUGGCUUUUCUAAAUACAAAACAAAUUUCAAAUUUCAUUUUUAACUAAACAAAAACAUCUCAAAACUAUGACUCAAACUUUAAAACGAUCUCAAAUGUUCUAAUUGAAUCCUUAAACAUAGAGCAUACUUAAAACACGUCUUAAAUAUGCUCUGCAUCAAACAUAAACUAACAUUUAACACCCAGAUAGACAUGACAAAAAAAACUUAGUUGGUACGAUACUAAUAUUUUUAGGACCCAAUUAAACCGUUUUAAAAUUUAAGGACUAAUUUUUAAAAAAAUCAUUCUAUAGAUUAAGAAAGUCUGUUGUAAUCAACCCAAAGAAUAACGACAACAUUACGUACCUUAGCAUCAAAAUCUUGGUUUUGGUAAAAGCAGCUCUUCCCAUGCAAUGCAGCUCUUUGAAACCCCUCAAAUUGUAUAAUGCAGCUCUUCAAAGGACUCCAAUGCAAUUAUCUAGGAUUUGAUCGUUUGAUUUAUAUAAUGCUUUCGAAAGUGCAGUUUUUGUACUUUAAAUUGUAUCCGAACGAAUGAAUAAAGGUUUGAGGAAUAAGUUCGAUUGCGAAGGUCUUCUCAAAUUUAAAAAUUUAGAAUAUGCUAUUUCGUAAUUUCCUCUUUUUAUUUUUAUUUUAAAAAAUUUAAUCAUUUUAUAUUUUUCGGAUUUAAGUAUACAGGUCCAAUUAUUAUUAAAAGUGAUUUGAUUAAAAAAUUAAAAAAUAUUUCGAAUUUCGAGUUAAUCGAAUUGAGUUGUUCGAUUUUUUUGAAUCGACCCGAAUAAGUAAUUCGAUUUCGAGUCGAGUUAAAUUUUACAAUUCGAAUAACAGAUUAAUGUAAAUACUCAUUUGGUCCCUGUCAAUUUAAAAAAUGGACAAAUUUGUCUCUCUCAACAAAGUUUACAAAAAAAAAUUCAAAAUAAUUUUCAAAAAGUUUUAAAUAAUUUUUAAAAUUCAAAAUUUAUAUUUAAAAAAUUAUAAAAAUUCUAAAGAAUAUAUAAAAAAAACUUAUUCUUUUUAAAUAAUAAUUUUUGGGAAAAUUAACUAUUUAAGUUUAUCAUACUAAAAUAUCUUCUUUUUUUCUUAUUUUGCUUUGAAAAAGUUUUCAAAUUUAUGUGCUCUAACAUUGAAUUAGUUAUAUUGUAACAAUAUUUUAAUUUGACAUAUUUAAUUUUUUAAUUUCACUCGAUUCAAAAAAAUUUCUAAUUGAGUUAGUAUGACAAAAUGAGACUCGUCAACUCGAUUCACUCGAAACUUUUUCACUUCAUUCGAUCGAAUGCUCACUCCCAACUAACAUCAUAAAAAUUCGUUUGUUAAAUUUAGGUUCGUUACAAUAUUAAUUUUUUAUUAUAUGACUAUCAAACUGGAAAAUAAAGAGAUAAAUAUAUAUUUUUGGUACUUAUGUUUAGCUUUGAUCUUAAUUUUCCUACUUACGUUCUUUUUUCAAAUUGGUACUUAUGUUGUCUUUAAUUACACAAAAUGGUAUCAAAUUUAGUAUAUGAUAUAUGUCGAUGAUGAUGUCAUAAUAACAUUUGGGAAAUUAUAAAAAAUAUAAAAAAUUCUAAUGUUUGAUACCAAAUAAAAAUAAUAUAAAUUUUUUAUAUUUUCAUAUUUUUAUAAAAAGGUAUCUUUUUUAUGAAAAUAUAAAAAUCAAUUUUUUUAUAAAAAUCAUUUUUUAUAAUUUUAUUAAAAAUUUAAAUCAAAAUCAUGAAAAUAUUCAUGAAGUUACAAAAAAGAAUUACAAUUUCUUACGUGAAAUAUAUAUGUUGUAUUUCUAGAAAUUUUUAGAUUUGUAAUAUCUUUAAAUUUUUGGAUAAUGACAUUAUCAUCAUCACAUGUCAAAUGAUCAUUGGACCACAAAAUAAAAGUUAGUAUCAUUCAACUUAGGUACCAUUCUGUGUAACAGUAGUCAAACAUGGGUACCAAUUUGAAAAAAAAUGAAUAUUGAAAUCAAACAUAUGUACCCAAAAAUAUAUUUACUUUUUUUACUAAAAUGGUUUAAAUUAAAUUAUUAUUUUUUAAGAGGGGUCAAAAAUGAAAAUUUUCAUUUAAAAAGAAUUAAAAUAUUAAAUUUUAGGAGGGGCUAAGAUGCAAUUCCAUUACCAAGGAAGCAAAGCCUCUAACUGCCCUGAGUUCGUCAUUGUCAUUAACAAUUUACGUCAUGAACGAAGUUUAGCGCGAAGUUUGGGGACAAAUUGUGGCCUUGACCCUCUUACAUUUAAAAAAUUCAAUUUAAUCUCUUUUAGCCCAAUUAUUAAGGGGAGGUCAACUUCUUUAAAAGAAGUUGCCGAAGUAUCAUUCAUUAAGGCUGGCGAAUUCCUCAAUAAAUCGGUAUUAUUUCAAUUGAAAUUUUGUCUCCUAACUCUAUCGAGAAUUCAAGUGCUAAAAGAAUUAACGGGUUCACAAAACAAAUGUACAUUCUGUUACUCCAAAUAAACGAGAAUUAACAAAUUUCUCCCCAAAAAAUCCGCCUCCUCUCGUUACCUCUUUUUCAAAAGUAAAUCUUAAUUCGCUCAGGGGAUUUGGAAUAUUGAGACUUUUUUAGUGAAAAGAGUGGCAAAUUGGUGUGACACCUAAGGUCACUUUUAACAUAUAGCUCUAAAUUUUUAGAAACAUUGUGAAUCGUUACUUCAGCAUAUGCCUCUUGUUUUUUCCCUUCUUUCACCAGAACAUAUUCAUAUUCAAUGCAAAUAACUUAUCUCUUACACAUUUGAUUGUUGGUUAAAUUCGAGUUUUAGUCCCUAUAUUAUACUUAAUUUAAACUUUAGUCUUUAAUGUGACGUAAUCUAACUUUCUUACUGUUAUCGGUGUUAUUCUUUAGUCUAAAUCCCUAACAUCAACACAACUCGAAAUUCAUUAUAUCAUUUAAACAUUAAAAUUAUUUAUUUAACUUGUGAUUUAAAUAAAAAUUAAAUUAUGAAAUAUCCACGAUAUGGAUAAAAAAAACAAAAUUAUGUGUCAAUUAUAUUUGUAAAAAAAAUGAAAUUUUAAUUACAAUGAUAAAGUUCAAAUUAACUUUAUAUAAUGCAAUGAUGUUUUAGUCAUUGUUCAAUUGAAUUAGUGCCUAAUAACUCGUAACACCAAUUUAAUUAAUUAUGAAUAACAUUAAGUUUUAUUAUCUUUCUUUCUUUAAUAGAUUACGGUCGACUACUUAAAAAAAUUACAGUUAAUUAUUAUUUUAUAAGGUAAACUAUCAAAAUAGUCACUUUUGUUUCUUUCAGGUUACAUUUUAGUCACUUAUGUUUAAAAUGUUAAGUUUUAGUCACUUACGUUUAUCGUAUUGUAACAUUUUAGUCACUGAGCGUUAAUUACCGUUAGCAGUGUAACAAUAAAGCUAAUGUAACACGUUAAAUCAUCAAUUCAAACGAAAAUUUUAAGUUAAAUUAUAUAAUUGGUCCCUAUAUUUUUUUUGAGCAAUUUAAUUUUUUUAUUUUAUAUUCUUUGAAUUUUUUUUAAUUUUCCGUUCUCUUCUGUUUCUCCCUCUAUUUUCCUCCGUUCUCCGUCUCUUUUAACUUAAUUUUUCUAUGUUUUUCAUUUCUUAAAAUUUAUUCAUUUUUUUCUUUUAUGUAUUUUUUCUACGUUAAAAGAUAUGGAGAAGGGAUGAAAAUAGAGGAAGAAGUAGAAGAGAAUGAAAAAAAAAAGAAAAAAAAAGGAAAGUUAAAAGAAACAUAAAAGUAAAAAAAUUAAAUUCCUCAAAAUAAAAAAAUAUGGGGAUCAAUUGUAUAAUUUAAUUAUUUGAAAUGAUGAUUUAACGUGCCACAUCAGCUUACCGUUAAUGACAAUUAACGGCCCAGUGACUAAAAUGUUACAACACUUUAACAUAAGUGACUAAAAUGUAACAAUUCAAACAUAAGUGGCUGAAAUAUAAUAAUUGAAACAUAAGUAACUAUUUUAACAAUUUAUCCUAUUUUAUAUUAUAUGAAAUAACAUUAUAAAGGCUAUUUAUAUUAAAAUAUUAAUUAAUAAAAUCAGUUCAACCAACGAAUUUAGGCAAUAAAUAACUAAUAUUUAGUAGAAAAGGGUAGCACCUCAAAGACAAAGCCAGUGAGUACUUUUUUUUUUAAUCGAAAGCUCCCUUCCAUAUAUUUUUUGAUUUUUUUUAAUUUCUUCGUAGUUAAAUCAUUAAUGGUUUGUUGAUUGAGUCUUAACUCAAUUGAUAUAGAUAUUAUUGUUAAUGUAGGAGGACGUGAGUUCGAGUGCGCUAAAGUGUACUAUCCUCAUGUUUAUAGAUUGAAGAGAGACUAGAGCAGAUAUAAUGAAAACUUAUAAUAAGAUUAUUCAGAAAAUCAAUUUCACAAUUGAGUAGGAGAUUGAAUAUUAUAAAAAGAGUAAAUAAAUAAUAAUAAUUUUAUAGAAAAUAUCUUCAAAUCCCAACAAGAAGAAUAUAUAUAAUAUUUGGUUUGGUCAAUCACGAAAAGAACUUAGAUUUUAACAAAAUAUAUUAAUUUUUAAAAAAGAAAAAAACCAAACUUUUUGUAGAAUAUAAUUUUUUUUUAAAAGGAAAGAAUAUUUAAAGAAAAACAAUUGUCAUAAUAGAAUUACUCUUUAAAUUGAAUCGUAUAUGACUAUGAGAUCUUUGGUCGGUUUUAAGAGGUCUCGAACAAUUUAGAAGUAGAAAUCAAAUCUUUUGUUACUUACAAUGUUUAUAUGUUUAGUUGACUUUGAAUGAUUACAAAAAUUCAUUCAUUAACUUUUAUCUCAUCAAGUGUUUUUUUAGAGAGAUGAUCAUGCAUUGUAAUACAUUGAAGGAAACAUAUGGAUUUUACCGUGGUUAAAGUAAGUUGUUGACACCGUUUUUUUUUUGUAAAACGGGGUCGACUUGAAUUUUGAAAAUGAAAACAAAAAUGAAGUUGCUACCAAUCCUUUUUUAUGAGCUGUGAUCGGAUCACCUCGAAAAGUGGUUGUUUUUAAUAAAUGAUUUGGUUUUAUUAAAAUAACGAUUUUGGUCCACGAAAUUCAAAAAAAUAGGUUCGGGAUUCGGUUACAUACGAGGAAGUAUUAGCACCCUCGUAACGCCCAAAUUUGGUAUCAAAUUGAUUAAUUAGCGCUUUAGUGUCGAAGAUUGAAAACUUUGAAGAGUUUUAAAAAAUACGAUCCUAAAAAUUUUUUCGAAUAAUAUGAGUUGAAAUUUAGGAUCUUCUUGUUUCGAAAGAAUAUCACAUCCAGCACGUUAAGAUACGAUACUUUAAACCCUCGAAACCAAGAUUACCUUAUGGUUCCCAAAACCCAUAAUUUGAAAUUUUAAAAGGAUAUUUGACUAUUUGGCCAAACGAGAAAUUGAAACCCAGCACGUUAGGGCACGUUUUCUCGAAUUUUCAAACGCAAAAUAUUGCCUUAUUUAGAAAAAUUUUCCUUUUUGAGGUAUGGUGUUAACAUGCAUAAUGAAAUAAUAAAUACGAUAAUGUAAAUAAAAAUAAUACGAGCAAAAACAAAAAUAAAUAAAAAAUAAUGAUAAAAAAAGACAAACCAAUUAUAUAUAAUAAUAAAUAAACAAAUAAAAAUUAAACAUUUUAAAAUAAUAAUAAUGGACACAUAAAUGAAUAAAUAAAGAAAUAUUAAGUAAAACAAUGAUAAGAAUAAAGAAAAUGAAUAAAAUUAUAAACAUAUAAGAAUGCAUAUAUGUAUAUAUGUACAUAACAAAGUUUGAAAUAAAAAAGAUAUAAACAAGCAAGUAAUAAUUUCAAUAUAUAAUAAGACCAAUAUAUUUGAAGUUUAAAUAAGUAAACAUAAAUGAUAAUAUAAUAACAAUUACAAAUGAUAAUAAUAAUCAUAAUAAUAUCUAAUUUUCUAAUAUUAUUAAUAAAAUAACUAAAAUAAUAGAACAAACAGGCUAAAUCCAAUUUUAAAACAAAAUUCGGGGUUUAAAACACAAAUAAACAAAAAAGGGUCCCCAAAGACCUAAAUAUAAUGUGCACAAAGAACAGAGGGCUGACUUGGAAAAUAUCCCAAGCCCUAUGCGCAGCGUUUUAGAGCAGACUAAAAUGAAAUGCGCGGAAAAUAACGCGACCAAAUAAAAAAGUAAAAAUGGGACCAGAUUGCACUAAGGCGCAAAAGAUGAGGGACCUCGCGCGCAAAUAUCCCCUUCACCGCAGAAACACGUGGAUCCUAAGGGUGGACGGGUCGGGUUGCGGGUCAGGGCCAAAACGACGUCGUUUUGGCACCUGACCCCUAGUUGCAAAACGACACCGUUUUAUUUAGGCUAUUUAAGCAAAAAAAAAAUCAUUUCAGCUACCACUUAAAAAAAAUCAAAGAAAACCCUUCCCCCUUUUCUCUUCCCCAAAUCCGGCCAAGGUUUCCGGUCGUAGCGCCGCCGUAGCCGGUGGCCGGCGUUGCGCAAAAGGGGCGAUUCAACCCUAGUUUUCGGCGCGCACAAAGGCGAAGCCCUUUUAAACCGAUGGGCCGCCAGAAAGGGGUGAUUUGAAACUUCUUCCGAGCUCGAAUCCGACGCCGACAAGGGGUCUCCGACAGUGCAAACAGAUUCAGGUACCUUCUCUUUUCUUUUUUUUCUAUUCGUUUUUUGUUUAUAAAAAUAAGGAAGAAAAACAAAAAAAUAAAAACGAAAAUAGAUCUCAAACUGAAAAAUAAAAAUCACCUUAAGUACUAUUUGCUUUUUUAUUUUCUAAAAUGCUCGAAAAAGAAAAUACAGAACCAAACCCUUUUACAGUAAGAUAUUCGGCUUUUUAUAGCCUAAAUUACAUGUUAUUUUUGCUAUUUUUCUUGCGUUUCUGUUGUUUGCGUGUCUUGCAAGUGACGGCACAAGUGGGGGACGGUGAUGUGAUCGUGGCGGUGGCAGACGCGCGGCGCUAGCGACUGGCAGGGCAAGUGGGCGACCCUAGGUGCGGCGCACCUAAGGCUAGGGUUACUUUUUUUCUGAAAAUAUGUUUUGAGCUAAGUUUUGAUUUAGGCCUUUUGGGCCUGUUGGGUUUAGUUGGGUUUGGGUUUGGUUUAAUUUUGGGCUUUAUGUAUUGGGUCUGGCAUGUAAUUGGACUGUUAAUUAUUUGGUUUAAUUUAUUUGAGACCGGGCAAAUUAGGCCCGGGCAAAUUGGGCCUACUACAUAAGUAAAGGGUUUUGUUUUUAUCUUAGUGAGAAUGAAAUAAAUAUAAAAUCAAAUAAUUAUAGUAUCAUUACAGUACAUUGUGGGAUUUGGAGACCCACACAUAUAAUUGUGUAUAGUGAAUCUUGAAUUUGGGUACUUGAAGUUAAGAAUUUAUUGGAAAAUAAUAUAUGAGAUUUAAAUCAAAAUAUAUUGUAACAGCUCGUUUUUCAGUGGUGUCAGAAACAAUGGUUUUGGGGCCACCAAAUUCGACGAGUAAGUUCGUAAAUAUUAUUAUUUAAUAUUUACGAGUCAAAUGUGUCUUAGGCCGUGUGAGCAUUCGAAAUAGGGACACACAGCCAUGUCCCAGCCCGUGUGAGUAUACUAACUUGGGUCACACGUAUGAGUCACACGACCAUGUGACCCCUGUAGUGUUGAAAAUUUGAAGUGUUUCUGAAAAAUUCUCUAAGUUUCUGAUUUAGUCCCGAUUUGUUUCUAAUGUGUAUUUUGGGCUUCGAGGGCUCGUAUAAGAGACAAUAUGUAUUAUUUUAAUCGGUUUUUGACAUGAAUGCUAUAUGAUAUGAAAUGUUUGCAUUUUCUGUAUGUUUAAUUUGUAAACUCUGGUAAUGCUUCGUAACCCUGUUCUAGAGAUGAAUUCGGGUUAGGGGUAUUACAGUGUGGGCUUGAACCAAUUGAAUCGAAACACGGAACUAGAAAAAAAUUUCUCUUUUGGGGUGAAAACGAAAAUUUUCUCUUCUUAAUAGAAUAUGAUAGAAUUGUUAUUCCGGAAAAAUAUAUGUAAUAGUUGAGAAUAAACUUUGUAUUUUUUUAUAAUAAUAAUAAUAUCUUAAAGUUGUCUAAAUAGCUCUACCGGUGCCAUUUAUUCAUAAGAGGAGAGUGUAGAACCUUUGUUAAGUUGUAAUGGUUUAUUUUUAAUAGAAAAACAACUUUCUACUUAGAGUAGGAGACGGGUGGACGACACACCCUAGUAUUCCUACAAGGUUGUCAUCCAUUUCCUAUCACAUGAAAGGUUUUAGGCCUCUCUUACAUCGGGUCCAAGUACUAGUACUUCUUAGGCCCUUUUGACCCAGUACUCUGUAAUGUAAUCCAACUUGAUUUAGUUUUUCUAUUUCCCAAAAUAAACUUUAAUAUUUAUAUAUAAACAAAUUUCUCAACUCAACAUGUUCACUAUAACUGAAUGGUUUAUUUUAAUUUUCGGGUUUCAAAAUAGUCCAAAAAUAUAAACUCAUUCUUCCGCUAUUUUCUAAGUAAUCCAUAUAGGAUUGCAAAUUUAUAGUUUUAUAUUUAUUUUCAUUUCUAUUUUUGGAAACCUGCAUUCACUUCCAAAUGAUUUCAUUUCUCCAUUUCGAAGAAGAACAUAAUCAUUCAUGAAUGUUUCCUAUUUCUCUUUUUCUAUUCAUUUUGUUCAUUUCUAUUCAAAGACACAAUUCAUUUAUGGUUUCAACAAGCUAACAAAGGGACUGAUUGGAUAUAUGUAGUUGAGGAUCAAAAUAUUUAUAAUUAAGUUUUGGCUUUUCGUCUAUUAAUUAUAAACUCAUUUAGUCAUGAAGUCAUUCCACUAUAAUAUUGUGAUUGAGCUAUCCUCAAUGACAUACCAUUACGAAAGCAACUACUCAGUACUUGUCCAAUGACUUUAUCAUAAGUGUGAUACCCUCAUAGGAUAUCAUUGAUCUUUUUGGGAUAAUAUUCGUUCUCUUAAUAUUAUAUUAUUUUAUCUAAUGGUAAUCAUUAUAUCUUUCUUCAUAAAAAGUCAAUCACUAUCAAAUAGUGAUCAAGUAAUCCAUCAGAAAAAUAGACGACCUGUGACGACGUUUACUUUUCAUCAAUCAUGUAAUGCCAAUGAGAGGAUAUCAUUUACCCAUGUUUUGGGCUAUGAAUUCCAUUGUUAUGAAUGACGCUACAUACUAAAAAAAUUUAUACAUCCAACACACCAGCUUUCGAUUCCUUAUCUAUUUGAACUCAGACUUUUACUUACAUCAAAGUGUACAAGUCACACAUACAUAGUCCGCUAUCCACUUAGGAUUUAGGUAUGUCACACUAUGAACGUCACAAGUAAAUAAGUCUAUAAACGGAUUCAGGAUCUAUCCUGCUUGAGUUUUGUCCGAUGUACUACCAGUCCAGUCAGUCACAUCUAUGUCUUUAUCUUUUGCGAGUUAUCCACUCCGAUGCUUAAGACAAGGCAUCUCCCAAAUUGGACUUAAUAGACGACAUAUUAAUCUUUCAAUCGGUUUGCUCAUUUUUUUAUUAGACUAAGGGCAUGUUUAGGUUCAUCUACUAAUACAAGUUGUCUUUUUGUACUACGAUCUGACCACGUAAUACUGCUUAGUAUUAGUUAAACAUUUAGAUAACCAAUAAGUAACAUUUGCUUCUAUUUUACUUUUCGUGCAAAAACCAUUUGAGAACAAUAAUACAAAGUAAUUUAAUUUAAUUUAUGAAUAAAUUUAUUAAUCAAUCUGUUCGGAAAAUUACAAUUUUACAAACGAAUACACUACACUCAAGACACCAGAUCUUAUUAGAAAAAUGGGUUUGUAAAACAUAGCGGAAAAUAAAUUUAGGAAAAAAGCAGAGUUUUAAAAUUUUUUCCAAAAUAAGAUCUUGGUUAUAAUAUUUAAGGUAAUAAACACUUAAUUAAAAUUGUACAUUUUCAAUUCGUCUAGGAUGAGUGCUUCGACCAAGUAGUCUUCUCCUCUAUCCUCAAGCUCACGUCUGUAGAGUGUGAGCUCGCUUCGAAUCAGAAAAUUUUUCACAAAAAUUACCAAUGGGAUAAUUUUACUAUUUCUUUAAACUUUUGGAUUUAGUUGUAAAUCAGAAAAAUAUUUUUAAAUUUUUUUUAAAAUAAUCUCUUCAGAGAAUUUUCUCUCUACAACUUUCUCUUGAAUUAAAGUGUGUGUAAAUAAUGACCCAAGGCUCUCUUUAUAUAGGGAGAGUUUAGAGAAUUCAACUAUGAUUAAAUUUAAUCACUUUAAUAUUAAAUAAAUAUAAUAUUUAUCAAGAUAAAUAUUAGAUUAAAUUUAAUAUUUAAUCUUAUUAAAAUAAUAGAAUGUUUAUUUAUAGGAUAAAUAUUAAAUUAAAUUUAAUAUUAAGAUAAUUACUUUAAUAUUAAAUUAAUAAAAUACUAUUAAGAUAAGUAUUAAAUUUAAUUUAAUAUUAAACUAUUAAAAUAAUAUUAUUUUUGGAAUAAUUAAUCUGAAAUCAAAUUAUCUGGUAGAAUCCCAGUAGGAGUGUAACUCUUCCGCUGCUCAACCACCGACGACCAACCGCUGCUGGCCACUGGGACGCCGCCAUCGUAGUUUCCGAUACCGCUGUGUUCAGUGAUGCAAGUAUGACACCCUUACAGCACCCCGAGCCGAUUCGACUGUUAUCGGUUCGAUCUGGGUCAAUGACGACCCAACUUGUCCGAUCUAGCCACCAGUUGGACUGUCGGUCCAGUUUCACAUAUUUGGCCCAGUUCGACCAGUUUUUGAGUCUUGGUCUCGAUUUUGGGCUCCUAGUCCAAAUUUACAUCUCAGAUCCAAUUUUCAAGUUCAAUUACCUAUUGAGGCAAUUGUUUGACUUAAAAAUUAACUUCUAAAAAUAUCAUAUCAAUUUUAAUUGAUUUGAUUAAUUUAAUUUUACUUGAUUAAAACUAGUUUUUCCAAAAUUCACUUAAAUUUUUUAAAUUAAUUUUUUAAGAAAAAUCUUUAAUCAAAUUCUCUAUUUGAACAAUUCUCAGGACCACCUAAUUUAAUUCCAUGUCGAAUAAAUUGACUCCAUUCAAUUAUUCCCAAAGUCGUAGAAUUUUCUUCUGAUCCAAAUGCAGUCUGAUAAAACAUUUGUUAAGUUAGUGGAGGGACCAAUUAGACAUAUACAAUUAGGCUCUAGUGAUUGUAAUUAUGUCCAGAAGCAUCGUUCCGAUAAUUCGCAAUUACUUGAUCAUGGAGUCAAUCCACAAGAAGUACCAUGAUUGAAAGCUCCUUAUUGUAUACUCUUUACGAAAGCAAUUCAUUCAACUGCUUUGUCCAAUUACCUCGUUAUGUGUGUGUUACCUUCAUAUGAUAUACUUGAUUCAUUUGAGUUAAGUCCGUUCAAUCAAUACAAUUCUAUUUUAUCUCAUUGUCAUCAUUUUGUCUUCUUAAUGAUUAAUAUGAUUACUGUCAGCAAAUGAUUGUGAUAAAUUGUUCGUUUGAGAAUAAGCAACCCAUGGCCACGUUCCAUAUUUAUCUAUCCACACAAUGCCAAUAAAAAGAUAUCAUUAACUCUUUAAUUGAGCUAUGAAUUCUAUUGUUGCUAGUAAAGUCAUGCCAUACACAAGUCAUGUACCCAAUAUACUGGUUAUGAGCUUGAUCAUCUUUAAAGCAUAAGCCUCCACUUAUAUCAAAACAGAUGAGUUGUAUACGCAUAGUCAGUGACUAACUUAGGAUUUAGGUAAAUCACACCAUGAACGUCACAAGUAAAUUAAUUCAUAAACGGAUUUAGAAUUAAUUCAUCUUGGGUUCAGUCCAAUGUAUCAUUCUACCGAUGAAUACAUCUAUGUCUCUACUUGUGGAGUCAACUGAUGCGAUAGCCAUGACUAGACAUCUCCCCAAUUGGAAUUGUAGACAACAUAAUAAUCUUUCUCAGUAUUUGAAUCAAAUGCUCACUUUGAUUUUUUAAUGAGAUAACAGACUCAUUUAGAUUAUCUAUUGAAGUAAGUUGUAUUUCUCGUAAUGUAAACAUUUUUUAUAAUGCCACUUAUCUUUAGUUUGAAUUUUAAACAAUCAAUAAGCUAAUAUUUUCUUGUUACAAUUUCGCUAUGCGUGCAAAAUAUAAAAGACAUAAAUACAAAAGAUAUAAUAGUGAAAUGUGAAAUUAACUUUAAUUAUUCAUCGUUCAACUAAAUAGAAAAUAGUUACUUGUCUACUACAAUAUGAGAACAUUUCCCAACAGAUCCAAUAUCGUUUCCGUUUAAUUCCCGUUUUCGACCGAGAGAACUAUAGUAAAUUGAAAUCGGAUUCAUGAGACUAAUUUGCUCACACAAGCUGACAUAUUCGGGAUGCUCACACAAGCUUCAGACCAAGGUUGCUCAUACAAUCUUAGUUCAGUGCUGCUCACACAAGCUUCAGAGUAUCCGCAACACAUGUUAGAUCUCAAUCUAUCGUAUUAAUCCUUGAUCAAACACUCGUUUUCCUUUUCAGGACCCUAAUGACAUGUUAUUUGUAUCCUAAUCCUUUACUAAAUUCACACGGCCAUUGUUACCGUUUUCGUAUAAUUUCAAACUUUGUAACAUCAUCAUAUACAUAUCAUUCAAUCAAAUAACAAUUUCACAUCCAUCCGAUACCAUAUACCUAUUCGUAUUUUUCAUAUAUUUCAUAUUUUACGAUUUAGUCCAUUUGAUGCCAACAGACAUUAUAUUUAUAAAAAUUCAAUUUAGAAAGCCAAACAAUACAAUACAAACAUAUCAUGAAUUAAUAAAGUAAGUCUCAUAUGAACUUACUUGGAAAAAACAACAACAAAUAAUACGUCAAGGACUAAUUCACAAUUUUGCCUUUUCAUUGAUUAUCCUUCGAUUGAUUUAAUUCUUGAUCUAUACCAUAAUUCAUUUCAAUUUAUCAAUUUCAAAUACCUUAUGUCAUCCUACUAUAAGCAUAAGUCAGUUCAAUUUCACUUUUCAAAUGUUUCCUAAUUUUUUCAUUUUAUUCAAUUUAGUUCCUAAAACCGAAAUUACCAUAACUUUCAAAUUUUAGCUUCGAUUUCAAAAUUGAACUCAAUUUCAUCCUUCUAUAACCCUCUAUUAUUAAAAAAUGUAGAAAUAUUAUACUAAUUUCGAAAUUCAUAUACUUUAGUCCGUAUAUUCGAAAACUAACAAUUGAACUUUACAAACUGGCCCAUUUUCAAUUCUAACCUCAAAGUCUAACAAUUUAGUAUCAAAAACUUCAAGAAAUCAACAAUGAAAACUUUUGAAAAUUUUAACAGUUUUACAAGUUGAUAUGUGGGCUAGCUAAAUCAAGCUUACAAGACUUCAAAAACAUUAAAAUUACAAGAAACAAACUAAAUCGAACUUACCUAUGGAUGACCGAAAGCUUUGAAACAUAAAACCCUAUUUCUUUUCUAAUAGUGAAGAAGAUGAAGAUGAUAAGAAAUGACUUUCAUUUCUUUUUAAUUUUUGUUUAUAUAUUUUAAUUAGUUACCAAUUAAUUAUAAUUAACUUAAUUAACCUAAGUUUAAUUAAAGCUAAAUUUAGUUAACAAUUUUGGUGGGUUACAACUAUUCCCCACCACCGAUUAACAUAACAUGAAGGGUCAAAUUUCUCAAUUGGUCCUUCAAUUAAUUAAAAUUCUAUACCAAUUAAUUUGUACCAUAUUUACAAUUUAGUCUUUGUAGAUUGAUUAUCUAUCUAUUUGUCAAAAUUAAGGACCAAAAUUUAAUUAAAUAUUAUACUAUCCUCGUAAAUAUCAAAUAAUAAUAUUUACAGACCUGAAUAUAAAAAAUGAGGUUCUAAAACUAUCAUUUCCGACACCACUAAAAAAUGAGUUGUUACAUAAUACAUUGUUAUCCGAAAAACAAAGCGAUAAUUAGUACACUAUAUUCUCUUUGUCUCAAAUAAAUUAUUUUGUUUUAAAAGGAUAUACGUUGAAAUCGAUAUCGUAUUAAGAUUAUGGAUGAGGAGACAAUUAAUUGAAUCUAUUAUAUUGAGUAAUAAUUUUGUGUUUGAAAACUACCAUAUAGUGGAGGCGGUGCUCCUAAAGAGACCAAAAGGCACAACUAACUAUUAAAACUCUAAAAGAUAUUUAGGUGCCUGAAAUUGAAUACGAAAAUAGUGAAAAUAAAGAUAUCUCAAUAUAAGUUAUGUUAAUACGAGAAAUCAUGAAACUUUAAAAUAGAAAAGUUGUCUACAACGGUUUUGUAUGCAAUAAUAUUAUUGAGAUAAUGAAAGAAAAAUGAAGUUCUUGACUAUUGAGAAAUAUAUACAUGAAAUAGAUUGACCAAAACGGGAAGAUGUAAUUCAAGUAGAAUUAAAUCCUAAAAGUUUGUGGAUCAAUAGUCUAAACGUCUAAAGGUAUAAAGCCAAUGAGGUAUAAAUGAGUGGUUCUGCAAAAACGAAAUAAGAAAUAUGAAGUUUUUCACGAAGUCCUAGCAUUAAUUAUGAAAGGUAUAAUAUUCUCUUAUGGUGGAUGCAAUAGCCUCUAGAUAUCUUUUUAGUUUUGGCAGUUUAUGAAAGAUUUGAUAUGCAUGUAACGAUUGUUGCUAUAACAUUUAUAGAAAUCACUAUAUACUGUAAGUUUAUAUUGAAAUUCUUCUGAAAUUGUUUAUUACAAUUGUGUAAAUAUUUAUAUGAAUUGAUUUGAACAUAUGUAUUAGUAUACAAUGAUAAUGAUCAACUAUGAUUAUUGUUGGAACUCCUAAUCAAAAUAUAUUUCUCUAAAGUUAGUGAAUUUGUUGAAGUGAUCAUUUGAAAAAUUAAUAUUCAAUAUUGAAAUACGUAGAAUUUAAGAUAUCACGUGAAAUUGUCAUUAGUGAGAAUAAAUACGCGUCGUACUAUUCUUUUUCUUUAACAAAAGUUUUAUCCAUUAAAUUAUCUGUUAAAGUUUUUGAGGAGGCAAGAUAUUAUGUUAAUUAUAGAUAAGUGUAUUAUUUUUACUUCUGUAAGAAUUCUUUUCUCAUAAAUUGUGAAAUCGUAUAUAUGAAAAUAACUCAUAAAUUAUAUUUGAGUAAAAAUAAUUUUGGUUAAAAUUGUUGACCAAAAUUAUUUAUUAAAAAAAACAUUUUGAAACUGUUCACAAUCCCACCGAAAGAUGGAGAAAAAUUUUCAUUUUUCAUUUUAUUUUGUAAAUUACAGUGUAUUUCAUUCGUAGAUCGACUCCUUCAAAGUUCGAAGUCUAAGAUAGCAUUGGAAACCUGCAGAGCAUACGAAUAAUUAAAAAGACAAUUGGAAAAGAAGAAUAAACGCAUCAUCGGGACAACAACAAUUAUUUGAAAUUUGAAGAAAAGACCCAUAGAUGAAAGGGAAAUGGAAAGGUUCGAAGAGAAAACUAGGGUUGCCAGCUGCCCUUCUACUGUGCUCACUCUCAUUCCUUGCUGGAUUGUUUGUUCCCACUUUUUUCUUUCAGGUAAUUCGUAAAAAUGCUUUCAUUUCCAAGUGUUUAUAACUUGGGUUUUGUGUUUAAUUAUUGGGUUUUUUUUUAAUAGGAUGUUCCGAUCAUUAAACCCAAGCCGAGAAUGCUCGAGGCAGUGCAGGAGAAGACGUAUCGUGAUCCGAUGCCAAAUGGAGUAACUGGGGAGAGUUCGAUUGAAUCUAUUCCAUUUCAGGUCAUUUUUCCAUUCUGGUUUAGUGCAUUGACUUUUGAAUGAUGAUGGCUUGGUUCAUCAUGUGAGCUUAGUUGUUAGAUUGGUGCCAUAAUUUUUGGCAAAUCUAGUAUAAAGAUUUUAGUGUGUAGUAGGGGCUGUCUAGUGUUGAACCCGAGACAGGUUUUAAUGGCAGAUUUUAACACAAGUUUUUGCCACUCCACUGUGGUUCAGUCCAAAAAGAUUUGUUUAUAAAUGCUUUUUCUUGGGAUACUUUUUUUACUUCGGUUAUAAUACUUGGCUUUAGGAUUUGAUACUUGAUAGCAGUUAACUCAUUAGUUAAAGUAUUUAUAAAAUUGUAGGUGCGAUAGGGCCUUGAGCCGAAAACAGAAAGUCGUAGUAAUCCAUGGUAAAAGCCAGAAAAAUUGGAGGAUUGGUUUAGUCUAUGAGUCAGAAUAUUCGAGUUUGCAUGUAUUUGAGAGCUAAGAUUUUAUCAAGGUGUGUUUGUGCUGAUUUAAAGAGGGGCUUUUGGAUAUUAAAGAGCGGUAAUGAUGCAGAACAAGGAUUUUAUAUGCAAAUGUUUUACAUAAUUCCGAGGUUGAUAUAUGCUAGGAAACAAUGGUCUGGAUCUUUUUUAUGAGCAUUUCUUCGGGGUGCUGCUGACUGAAGAACUAACUUCCUAUGCUUGCUUAUUGUUGAAUGCAGGUUUUAAGUUGGAAACCACGAGCUUACUAUUUUCCCAACUUUGCAACUUCAGAACAAUGUGAACAUGUAAUAGAAAUGGCAAAGGUGAACCUUAAACCAUCUGGUUUGGCUUUGCGCGAGGGAGAAACUGAAGAAAGCACAAAAGGAACUAGAACAAGGUGCCCCUUUA
This 64373-nucleotide long non-coding RNA is filed under the name Gossypium barbadense (sea-island cotton). Lineage: Eukaryota; Viridiplantae; Streptophyta; Magnoliopsida; Malvales; Malvaceae. The record is from RNAcentral.